Molecule: long non-coding RNA, 46817 nt
Filed under: Hordeum vulgare
Lineage: Eukaryota; Viridiplantae; Streptophyta; Magnoliopsida; Poales; Poaceae
Description: long non-coding RNA (HVUL_LNC012758)
Source: RNAcentral
AGAUAACAACAUGAAACCAUCAAAAAUUAUAGAUACGUUUGAGACGUAUCAGUCACUACUUGAUAUCCCACCUAUGAAUUCCUCAAAUAUCUGGUCAUGCAAUGUGGUACACGGAUACAAGGGGUAAUUUUUCACAAAACUCCUAUACUAACCCAUCCAAUGUAUCACAUCCGUCAACACAUAACUAGAAUCUCGGACCUUCAUCUACUACAGAUCCUCGUGAUCACAACGAUACAAAGUAUGGCAGUACUCCCAAACAAUCUGCACCAGUACUUGGGACAUCGGGGUUAUCUCGCCACUACUAGUAUUGAAGCAAUUACGAACAUCCUUCGUUCUAUGAUACUCAGAAAUCUGAAUGAUGGCGAUGUGCACAAGAAUCCCCUGGAGCUCAACUCCCCGGAAGAAAUCAAGGCAGACAGGAGGCACCAAGACAGAACUCCGUCACAUCGAUAUCAUAUAGACUUCAAAAUACCUGCAUGAUCCUAAUUAAGAUUUCCUAAGUCGAGAACCUCACCAGAGCAUGGAAGAGGAGAAAAAAGAAACCUACUCUCUGAUAUAACUAAGAGUCAAAACAUUUUACUAGACUCGACUCGGCCAAGUACGAUCACACAAAGGCUCCUAUGGUCGUAAGGCUCUCAUUACAAACUUGUAACGACUAAGAUGCAGUCCUUUCCUAUUUAGGGAGCGAUGCCCCAAAAUGAAAAGAAGCGCAUCUAUGCGUUUCGCAAGCAAGAUAAACAUAGCACAUAUAUAAUUUAAGAAUGACAAAUAGGGAAUCGUUUGCCAUCUUACAUAGAUAAUAUCAGAGUUUACAUCCACACAUUUAUUCAGACAAUGUAGUUCCGCUACAGACUACAUAACAUAAGAAACAAGGCUAUGCUAUCCCGCAUGCUUGCCCACGAUCACGACCAUGCCUCAGUCUUCUGGAUAGUUCACGUACAGGCGAUCGUUCUCCUCAUCGUACUGCCACGCCAGCUGCGUGCCAUCUGGAUCACCUGCGUCGGGCGUACCUGCACCUGUUGGGGUGUUGAAGUAAUCUGUGAGCCACGGGGACUCAUCAAUCUAUGACCUUGGUAUCGAAACUAGUCAAGUCAUUAGGUGAGGAAGGUUCAGUGUUUAGGUUGUAGCAUCCUAAGCAUUUAUGGUGGCUAACUUACGAAGAUCAAAGUUAUAGAUGUGGUGGUCUACGCGAGCGGUCGAAGNNNNNNNNNNNNNNNNNNNNNNNNNNNNNNNNNNNNNNNNNNNNNNNNNNNNNNNNNNNNNNNNNNNNNNNNNNNNNNNNNNNNNNNNNNNNNNNNNNNNGCCGGCCAUGGCGGGUGCUCUGCUCGGGAACGCCCUCGACGGCGCCAGAGAGGAGAAGAGGGGAGAAACGGGAACCCUAGGGUUGCGGGGAGGCGCCGGGCUCCUUAAAUGGACUCGGGAGGCAUGCUAGGCAUCGCUAGAUCGGAGGAGAAAGGGGGAUCGGUCGUGGAGCUCCUGUCGUACAAAAGUGACGGCAACGAGGUAGGAGACGGACGCGCUGGCGGGCUGGCUAGCGAGAGGAGGGAAGAGAUGGGCCAGCAAGAGGAAAGAGCCCAUCUGGCUGCGCUGGAUAAGGAAAAGAAAANNNNNNNNNNNNNNNNNNNNNNNNNNNNNNNNNNNNNNNNNNNNNNNNNNNNNNNNNNNNNNNNNNNNNNNNNNNNNNNNNNNNNNNNNNNNNNNNNNNNNNNNNNNNNNNNNNNNNNNNNNNNNNNNNNNNNNNNNNNNNNNNNNNNNNNNNNNNNNNNNNNNNNNNNNNNNNNNNNNNNNNNNNNNNNNNNNNNNNNNNNNNNNNNNNNNNNNNNNNNNNNAAGAGGAUUUUUGGAGCACUUAAAUAUUUACAAAACAUAAUUAAAUUAAUCUGUUUUGUGAAUAAAAACCCUACUAAAGCAAAGAUUUAAAAUACCCUAGACAUAGCACCACAUCCACAAUGAAACACUCUAAAUGAUCUACAUUUUUGAACGAGGCUUAGAGCAAGUAAAUCUUGAGCUUGAGAAAUAAAGAAGGGUUUUUUUGAAACCUAGUUGAAAACUAUCAUAGUUGAAAUCCAACUUUCAAACACCACUUCAUCAUCACAUAGCACAUCAACAUCNNNNNNNNNNNNNNNNNNNNNNNNNNNNNNNNNNNNNNNNNNNNNNNNNNNNNNNNNNNNNNNNNNNNNNNNNNNNNNNNNNNNNNNNNNNNNNNNNNNNCUUUAAAAAGGAUCAGCCAAGAGUCAUUCCUUCAAAGAAAACUAUGGUGUAACUAAUGGGCAUAAUAAAACUGCCCUGAAAAUUGGCCACAAUGUUUAGAGUCCCCUAAACUAUCAAUGUAGUAUACAUAUACAUGAUUCUUUAGCAACGAAACGCAAACAAUCAAAUAUCAGAAAAAGGAAACAAACAUGUCUUGUGCCUUCUGAAAGGUAAGGGUUGCGGUCGGUGAUUGGAAGUAGAACAUGCUUAACUUGGGAUAGAGCAUCAAUCGCUAAAGCACUUGGAGAUUCAUUCACUUGAGCCCUUACUGGUUACAAACAAAGUUGCAAACAGACAUCAAACGGUAGGCAAACAUAUAUAAAUAAAUAAAGGUUGUUCAUUAAAUUUUCUUUAUAGGUGCUGUUAAUUUCCAGUUUGAUUACAAUUUCCCCUGGUAAGUAGAAAACCAAAACAUGGCCAGGAUUCACUGCAAUCCACUAACUUGGGUGCAGCAAACGAAGGCUACUACAUUGUCAGGAUUCAGGAACGAGCAGAAGCAUAAGUAGGCUUGGUCCGACACAAACAUUCUAACAUCAUAGUAAAAUCAUUACUGGCAACCCGACUUCAAAUCAGAUUGAAGGACAUAGUUUUUUAAGGGCGAAAGAACUAAUCUUGAGCACACGGAGUGACAGCACGAAGCCACGGCCUAGCAAUUAGCAUAGUAAAUCUCAGGCCGACUCCAGUGGGAGCCGCGUGUGGGGCGCACCUCUGGUGCGCCUCUUGAGACGUUCCUAUGCGUUCAUAGGUCGUCUACGGACUUCAGAGUUCCUGUUUUGAUCAAAUAGUGACCUAACUAUAAGGUAGAUGUUAUCACCAACCAAUAUAAACACUGGACAAUGUUUCAUAUGAGAGUUUGUUAAAAAAAUAGAAUCCACACUCUUUAUAUUGAUCUGAUCAUACUAUAGGAGGUCAAUGAUUUGGCAAGUGAAUAAUCCACAUAUGAAUAACAAUAUACAAUUCCAUCAGAAAUAAGGCCCUUGCACCCUUGUAAAUCUCAUGAUGCAACAACCCCAAAGAUUACGACCGUAUUGAGCUUCUCUCGUUAGCAUGGACGAGAUGAUGUCGGGGAAGGCUUUGAUGCCCCAAUCGUCCUGGUCCGACAACGCAUAAAUCCGCCGAAGGCGAAAAACCAUCAUUGUAGUCAGUUUUAGACUAAUUUCAGAGUUCAUACAAGUACAGUACUAUAAACAAGCCUGCAACUUUGAUGCUCACCAUAUGUUUGUACCAGUGUCUCCCCAUGAGCCUUUCUCCAUUGGCAAGUCUCGCUCCACCAUCAUCUAUUGGUCAUUGAUCUCUCUGACUUUCAGUGUGCGUUCCCUCAUGUUAUGCCCCCACUUUUUGUGCUUGCAUCAUGUGUUGUCACGAGGACAACACAUAGUCCACGUGUCAAGUAAUUGUUGGAGCUGCUUCUACAGACCACACUUAAUGAUAAUUUCAUGAAAACCUGUGUAUCAAUCAAUAAGAAGCGAGUCUAUAUCAUGAUUUUGUUUUAGUUUCCUUGAUGAAACUAAAUGAGGGAACUACCCUGUGUGUCCAAAAGUUGCAUAUCUCAGUUGCCAGAAGAGAAGAUACCUCCCAUUUGGACGCGUAGGAUACAUAAUUGAAGGGAAUGAUCUGAUCCCAUCAUCUGCAAGUCUCCAGGCAGUCAGACACGAGAUGCUCGCCAAUGCAUGAUUACCCGAUAAACCAGAUGCUCGCCAAUGCAUGAUUACCCGAUAAAAUGGGUUAGUCAGCGCUGUAGUGAACUUUUUGUAUUUUAAAAGAUAGCUCGCUCAGUACAUGCUACAUGUUUGUGGAACAAAGGGUCUCCGGACAGCUCCAUCCAAACAAAAUCAUGNNNNNNNNNNAUGAAAAUGCAUGAGCAACCAUAUUUACGGCAGAUGCUAGAGGAAUAAUAGUAAGACGAGUUGUAAGUAUAUGGUUUGCUAGCCUACUGUUCUGUUUCUUUAAAAAUGAAUUCGAACAAUGCUAAAGAAAGGGAGAACAUAUUUUCAGGCUUAUGCGCCAUCAAAAACGUUUUCACUUACAUAGUCCAUAAGAGAUGUCAAGUGAAGGGACUCCAAUGUACUCGACAAAAGCUGCAAAGUCUGUUCCCCCACCGGCCACUCUUGCAAUGUGAGAAUAGGAGCUUAAUACUUAAGUAUGUUUAAUUUCAAUCAUAUGAAGCUUUCAUGAUCACUCAUUCCCACAACGGAAUUAUAUGACAAUUCCAUCACUGUACCCACCGGAGGAUUCUGGCGAAUCAUGUAGUCAUACAAGGUAUGAGACUGAUCAUCACGAUCGGGUACCUUCAAUCAAGAAUAAAAAGGAAAGGAUCAAAUAAUUAAAAAAAUGGAAUAUAUGUAAACAAAUCUCUAAUUUGUACUGAGUGCUGCUCGUGAAGUUAAAUUCUAUGCUUAAAGGCUUUAGGUGCAGAGCUAAAAUACCAUUCUGCUUUCUUCCUUGAUCAAUUCAUCGAGUUAUGGGGUUACACGGGUCAUAAGACCAAUAGACCCAAACGCUGAUAUGUCUACGUUCAUAUAAGCAAUAUCUCUUGAAGUAACAUAUCCACGUUCUACUCGUCCCAUUUCGUAGACCCUAUAUGAGAGGCCGGGACAUUGGAUUUUUCUAUGCUUUAGAGCUUACAUUUGCAGAUAAGAAAACAUCUAAGAGCAUGCCAUCAAUAACAUAUGAGCACAAACUCUUCUGCGUCCCAAAUGUAGACGAUGAUUGUUCUACUUGGCCUCCAUCCUUUCUUUUCCAGCUUGGACAACCUCACUGCAAUCUAUAAACAAAAGUAGGGUAUUGGCAUUAUCCUCAAUUUAUCAAAUAUGCUUAGCAUUCAAAACAUCUCAGUAGUCGGUAAGAUUGAUUACCUCAAGAGCAUAGUUAUUGUUCCCCUUUUGGGAUCGAGUGCCCCAAAUAUAUGGGUAUCACGAUGAUUGAGUUCUUUAGUACAUUCUUUCAUAUGCUGGCUCCACAAAGCAAAUAUAACCUAUUUAGCAGCACACUUUCAACAGAAGAAGUACAUCAUGAUUGUUUGGUUGUAACUGAUUUACCUUGUCUUGUGUUUGCCCAUACAAAUGGACCAGCAUCAUUUAUAACAACUCAGCUAUAAGAUUAUCUAGUAGGGUGGAUCAGUAUCAUUUAUAAGAACUUCUCAUGCCAUAUAAGCUCAUCUGGUAGUUUUGCCCGAGGCAACCAGAAACACAAAGAUAGUAAAUAUGGAUACUUAGUCUAGAUAGUACAUAGGCUAUCAUGGAGCACAGACUUGCCUUAGUUUCAGAAUCGCAGUAACACCACUCUGAAGCACCGGUGGAGCGACCUGCAACGUUAAAGAGCCUACAGAAAAUCAAAUUAGCACAAACCUUCUCUACUAUGUAACAAAUUCAGUAACAAAUGUUCCAACCUGGAUCUGCAUGCCCAUAAGUGAUCUUUCCACACACAUUCACAUACAAGAUACAACAAGCAGUUUGAUCUAGUAUAUGAUUUAGCUAGUUUUUGAGUUGGCCAAAAAUCUGGAGAGUUGGUCGCGACUUACCAAUUGAGGCCAAAAUCCUAGUCUUCGAUGAGUACUUCACCCAGUUCCAGGAAACAUCAGUUGGCCAAAAGGGAAGAAAACAAUUUGGAUGAAUCGCUGAUCUGAAGGAAAAUUUAAAUAGGGUUGAGGCCGAAGAAACUUCUUGACGGAUCUUAUCAUCCGGAGCCGGCUUCUUCGACGUCAUUGCCAUCGGUUGCAUAAAAAAACAGUUGAUUCACCUCCCAAACAUACAUGGAUCCAUCUACGGUACUGGAGGGGAGGGGGCAAAGGGGUCAUCUUGCGUACCUUAUCCAUGCUUCAGAUUGUGUUGGAUGGUCAUUCGCGCCACCACGAGGAACACAGAGAGGCAGUCGCCGCCGGCUGACUUGCCGGCGUCGAGGUAGAUUUUAUAUAUGUUUAGCAUAAUGAACUUUCUUUUUUGUUUUUUCAACAUGAACUUUGUAAGUUUUGCAGACUAAACUUUCUGUCUUUUUUUAGCACAAACAACCUUGCCUAUGCAACAGCAACAAGCAAACAGAGUAGCACAAAGAAAGCAACACCAUCACCUACACGAGUAGCACUAAGUUUUUGCAAAUUGUGGGAAUGGAGUGCAGUGCACACACACGACUCGCAACAUAGACGAUUAGAAGCACAUAAGAGGUGGUAAGCAGCCUUAUUCUUCACUACAUGAAACAUUAUUUUCAAUAAAGAGCUGAUGAAAUAGUGUAUCAUAGUGAAAAUUCAAUUAUGAUUCAAAAGAAAUUUAGAACAAGCUGUGGCACAAGUCCAUAACAUGAAGAACAUUCAUUGUUAGAAGACUUUGAGGAGCACUCCCACAGGAGAGGGCACAACGUUUUUUUCGCGCAGAGGCCUGGACUCAAAGCUCUGCAAUAGGGGAGGAGCUGCGGCCAAGAAACUUGAACUGUAGUGGAAAUUAACCAAGGUGAUGCACCAACGACGAAUUUGGCUAUAGCUCUGACCCAUGAACAUCAUGUGGAGGCGUAGUUGACCUGCAGUAGUAUGGGGGAGAUCUCGAUGGGAGGAGGAAGAAGGUCACCCCGGUCGGCGAUGAAGCUCCGGCUCGUGCUCUCCUCGACGGACACCGAGCUGUGGCCGGCGAGGACCGCUCCUUGACGGGUGUCAGCUCCUUAAGGGCGAGCUGGUGGCAGCGGAUCUGGGAGUCGAAGGUGGUUGGGGAGGAGGCGGCGGACCCGGGAGGCGAAGGUGGUUGGGGAGGAGGCGGCGGGAGGCGACGGUUGUUGGGGAGGAGGCGGCGGAUCCGAGAGGCGACGGUGGCUGGGGUCUUCAGAUCCAGGUCGAGGGCGGCGCGCGUCACCAUUGCCGGCGGGGGUGGUUUGGUGGCCCGGGAUCCGCGUGUGGUGGGUGCAGCGGCCCGCGGGGGCUGUGGCCAACAGCCGCCGGGAGCACGGGAGGGCGGAGGUUCCUCUGCGCCCGCUGGAGCCGGCGGUGUCACCAUUUGCGGGGUGGGGGUUGUGGGGANNNNNNNNNNNNNNNNNNNNNNNNNNNNNNNNNNNNNNNNNNNNNNNNNNNNNNNNNNNNNNNNNNNNNNNNNNNNNNNNNNNNNNNNNNNNNNNNNNNNUUCGUUGCUAUGAAUUACAAUGUUUAGUCAGCCCUUGAUCUUUGAAAGUGCUCUCCAUUUAUGUUUUGCGGUCCCAGAAAGAGCUAGCGAGAUACCACCUAUUCAUAUUGCUUCAUGCUUGUUUUGAUUGAAGUGUUGGUAUUUGAAACUCAUUAUUAUUUGCUCGUUAGCUGAUUAUGCCAUUGAUAUUAGUUUACCGUGAGACCUUUGUGUCAUUUGCUUAUGUGGUUAACUUGAGAUCUUGCUGAAAUUCUGGUUAUGAGUUAGACAUAGUUGCGACAACAAGAUCAAACAAAGUUUGUCAAAGUUUUUCUUUCUCUCUCAGUUUUCAACUGAGUUGCUUGAGGACAAGCAAGGUUUUAAGCUUGGGGGAGUUGAUACGUCUCCAUCGUAUCUACUUNNNNNNNNNNNNNNNNNNNNNNNNNNNNNNNNNNNNNNNNNNNNNNNNNNNNNNNNNNNNNNNNNNNNNNNNNNNNNNNNNNNNNNNNNNNNNNNNNNNNNNNNNNNNNNNNNNNNNNNNNNNNNNNNNNNNNNNNNNNNNNNNNNNNNNNNNNNNNNNNNNNNNNNNUUGUUUUCAGCAGAAUUGCCUUGGUGUUAUUUUUGUGCAGAAAUCAGAGUUCUGCUAACAUCCUGAAAAUUUACGAAGAUCAUUUUUGGAAAAUAUGAAAAAUAUCUGCGCCAAGUUCCACCUGAGGGGGUGGGCCAGUAGGCCAGAAGCCCUGGCUCCGCCACCACCUCACCUGGUGGCGGUGGGCAGGCUUGUGGGGCCCGCAUGGCUCUACCGCCCCCAAUUCUAGCUCUAUAAGUUCCCUUUCAUCCCAGAAAAAAAUAAAAAGAGAAGAUUUCGUCGCGUUUGCGAUACGGAGGCACCGCCACAACCUGUUCUUCAUCUCGAUGGCAGAUCUGGAGUCCGUUUUGGGCUCCGGAGAGGCGAAAUCUUCGCCAUCGUCAUCAUCAACCUUCUUCCCUCUCCAAUUCCAUGAAGCUCUUCGUCGUUCGUGAGUAAUCUAUCCGUAGGCUCGCUGGGCGGUGAUGAGUAGGAUGAGAUCUGUCAUGUAAUCGAGUUAGUUUUGAUGGGGAUUGAUCCCUAGUAUCCACUAUGUUCUGUGAUUGAUGUUGCUACUACUUUGCCAUGCUUAAUGCUUGUCAUAGGGCCCGAGUGCCAUGAUUUCAGAUCUGAAAUUAUUAUGUUGUCACCAAUAUAUGUGUGUUUUAGAUCCGAUCUUGCAAGUUGUAGUUACCUACUAUGUGUUAUGAUCCGGCAACCCCGGAGUGACAAUAACCGGAACCACUCUCGGUGAUGACCAUAGUUUGAGGAGUUCAUGUGUUCACCAAGUGUUAAUGCGUUGAUCCGGUUCUUUAUUAAAAGGAGAACCUUAAUAUCCCGUAGUUUCCUUUUGGACCCUUCUGCCGCGGGAGGGAUGGACAAUAGAUGUCAUGCAAGUUCUUUUCCCUAAGCACGUAUGACGACACACGGAAUGCAUGCCUACAUCACAUUGACGAACGGGAGUUAGCCACAUAUCUCUCUGUGUUAUAACUGUUGCAUAAUGAAUACAAACCAAACAAAUCACCGACCCAUUGCCUACGAGUUUGUCCUACUGCUGCUGUUACUUGUCUUGCUCUGCUGCUGUUACUACUGUUGCUGCUGUUGUUACUUGUCUUGCUCUCCUGUUACUACUGUUGCUGCUGUUGUUACUUGUCUUGCUCUCCUGUUACUACUGUUGCUACUGCUGUUACUUGUCUUGCUCUGCUGCUAUUAUUUGUCUUGCUAUGUUGCUACUGUUGCUACUACUGUCGUUUGCUACUGUUGCUACUUGCUACUGCUGUCACUACUGCUAUUCCUCGCCACUUCCGUUACUCGCUACUUUGUUGUUACUACUUUGCUUGCAGGUACUAAUCUUUCAGGUGUGGUUGAAUCUGAUAAAUUCAACUGCUAAUACUCGAGAGUGUUCUCUCACCUCCUGUUUUGGCGAUCAACAAAUUUGGGUCGAAUACACUACCCUCGAAAACUGCUACGAUCCCACGCGCUGGUGGGCCGUCAACAACAUUCUUCUAGUUUCGAUUGCCAGAGAGUGCUAGCAGCAUUCAUCUCGUGCCGUUGCAAGGGGAAGAACAGUUGACAUCAUGAGCCAACUUGUUGGUUAUAGUUAGUGAGAUUAUUCAUGCGCAUCAACGACAACGCUCCCUUAGGUCGUAUUUGGUUGAGCUACACAUUUUGUAAAAGCUGAUGUGAGCCGUGAGUUGUGAAAAAGUUGUUGUGAACUUUUAGCUGUGGAAAAGCUAGAAGCUGUUUGGCUGAAAUAGGAGUGAAACUGUAGAUUUGUCUGUGAAUUAUGUGUAACGACCCCGUGCAAUGAUUCAAUACUUUUAUGUGCAACUUGACCGUAAAAUAGUGUCAAGAACAUUGGUACGCAAUAGAAUAACCGUUUUGCAAAGGAAAAUUAUGACAAUUUAGACGAUUAAGAGCUAACACAUAUGAAAUCACAAACAUAUCUAUCUAUUCUAUUAUUUCUUUCUAUCUAUUCUACUCUACACUUCUUCUUCGGUACAACCCCCCCCCCCAAGCACAAGGACGGCUGAGAUUAAACGAUACCCCUUCAUAAGAAAGGCCAGGAUGGUCUUGUCCCCCCGUCCUGACGUACGCGCGUCAGCCCGACGGGCGCCAGCUGACGAACUAGCGCCGUACCGGAGCCCGAAUACGCGUCGUACCCGCAUCCACCCGGCGUGACGUGGCGUCUUCACGUCGGCCUGACCGCGGUCAAUCCGUCGGUUCCUGAGGCCGCUCCAUUAAUCGUGCGUUGCGUCGCCAGUUUGUCGUGUCGGUUCCCAAAGCCGCCGCCAUUGACCACCGCGUCAACGCCCCGUCGCCAGUUUAUCGCGUCGGUUUCCAAAGCCCCCGCCAUUAAUCGCCGCAUCAGCGCCCCAUUGCCAGAUCGUCGCAUCACUUUCCGAUGCCGUCGAUAGCCCGUUGGUUCGCCGGCUCCCGAGGCGCCAUUAAUGGCGGCCGCGUCGUCAGAGCCCCGUUGCACCGGUUUCUGACGCUGUCGCCGCUGGCCCGCUGGUUGGACGGCUCCUGAGGCGACGCACAUUCACUCCCGGGGAGUAACGCCGGCCAACUACCCCGUUGCCCCCCCUUCUGUCACUGUGCUAUAUAUACCCGGCGUCCCGCGGCACGUCGGCACACCCGUCGCUCUCUCCUUCUCUCCCCUGCUCUCCGUCAUCUCGCCGCUGCUCCCGACGUUCUCUCCCCCUCUCCCCUGCUCUCCGUCGUCCGGCCGUUCCUCCCGACGAUGGCUCACGCCGGCGGCAGCACCUUCGGCUGUUGCGGCGCAUCGGAGAGCAACUGGUCCCAAAGCCUCGAGAAGCCGUUGACGGAGAGCUCCACGCCUACGGCCUCAUCGUCCCGCCGGGGUGCUGCCUCGCGAAACCGUGGAGGAUUUGCAAGGACGGCUACCCGACGCUGGACGACCCCGCGACGCCGGAGCAGCUCCGGAUCCAUCCCGGCGUCCGCCACAACAUCCGCACCCGCCACACGUAUUGGGAUGGAAAAAGUUACUACGACGUCAACAACCGUCACCGGCAGGCGGCGGCGACGGCGGGCAACACUGGCGGCAUCCAGCGUCGCCGUCGGGCGGCAAUCCCCCACCCACCGUUGGCGUUCCCGACGAUGGCCCCGACGGUGGCCCCGACGGAGUACGAAGUGCCGCCGGAACAGUUCGUCCUCCGCGAGGACGGCGACCCCGGCGACUCGCCGGGGCUACUCGUCGUCAUGCGGGCGGCUGGUAGAGCAUAUAUCUCCAUAUGUGGUUUUGGUAAUUGAUGAUAAUUCCUAUGGACUAAUGGUUGCCUUAAGUUACAUUUAUAGGAUUUGUCCAUAGGCACUUCUUGAAGUCCAUCUGUUGGGUUCAAGGAGUUUAUAUGAUGACCAAGAUGGUAUUCAAGGUAUUAUCCAAAGAAUGGUCAUAGAGACACAUGGUUGAUCAAGAUCUCAGACAAAGAGUAAAUCAAGAUGAUCAACACACAAAGCGUACAAGAUGUACCGAGAGGGANNNNNNNNNNCAACCCAUGAGCAAAUCAAGAUGAUCAACACACAAAGCGUACAAGAUGUACCGAGAGGGAUCAAGUGAUCCCAUGGUAUGGUAAGCAUUGUCUAUUACGUAUUUGUGUACUAACUCAUGGUCUUCGUGAGAGUUCUUUGUGGGGGUUAGGUGUGUUUCCAUGGGCUUGCGUCAAAGGGAAGAUCUCAUAUAACCCAUAAAGUAUGACGUCAAGUUGUGAUCGUCAUCAAGAUUGCGAUGUGCAAGUUCAAGUGGAUCAGCACGAAGAUAUCAUGCUUGAAGCUUGUCGUCCAUUGUGGUGGCAAUGGACUUGUGAAGAUAUGCUGAAGAGUGGCUCACCCAUAGUGAGUAUGGGGGAGCAAUCAACUAGUCUUCAUCAAGCCAACACAAUCAAGAAAGGUGGUCCAUCUUGAGGAAGCCAAGAUCAUCAUCAUCUAGCUCAAGAGGAGGAGGUGCAAGGUAUAGGUUUGCCCUUGAUAGGUUUUCUGUUUAGGAUAGAUUGCUGUACUAUCAAGGGGGAUCUCAAGUGAGUAGCUUGAUCGUAUCAUUCGUUGAGAGCUCAAACCAUUUGCAUCCUUGCAUCAUACUUCUUGGUUCUUGUUUGGUGUUUCUCUUUGUGAGUUUUAGAGCUUAUGGUCCUCUUCAUGACAAGUUCGAGUUCAUCGAAAGCGGAGUCCAUAUGCAACUACUAUGAUGUUUUCGAUGUUGGAGUUUUUGCCGGAUCUUCAUUCAUAGAGGUCUCACAUCUCUAGAUCAUUGGCAUUUUCAUAUCAGCAUGGUCUUAAGGUCGCUGUUUGGAUUGCUCUUGUCGUCCUGAAUCCAACAAGCUUGGGUUUGCUCGAUUCGGAGCUCGUAUGCGAAAGUUAUGGCUGUUUCAGUGGCGAGCGGUAGUACCGCUGGACCUAGCGGUAGUACCGCUGGACCUAGCGGUAGUACCGCUCGAGUUCGCGGUAGUACCACUAGCCCUAGCAGUAGUACCGCUGGCUGGCGGUACUACCGCCCCUGGUCAGCGGUAGUACCGCUCCAGGAGCUUAGUACCGCCUGCCUAGCGGUUGUUCGUGGACGGACCUUUUUGCGAAGACUUUCUUGGCGGUGGUAGUGCCGUUGCACUACCAGGGGCCCAGCGGUAGUACCGCUGGAGUGCCAGCGGUAGUACCGCUGCAGCCAGCGGUAGUACCGCUGGAGCUCGGGCAGAAAGUGGGGGUAACGGUCUGAUUCCUUCCCCNNNNNNNNNNNNNNNNNNNNNNNNNNNNNNNNNNNNNNNNNNNNNNNNNNNNNNNNNNNNNNNNNNNNNNNNNNNNNNNNNNNNNNNNNNNNNNNNNNNNAUUGCUAGGUCGUGGCUUCGUGCUCACUCCGUGUGCUCAAGAUUAGUUCUUUCGCCCUUCAAAACUAUUUCCUUCAAUCUGAUUUGAAGUCGGGUUGCCAGUAAUGAUUUUACUACAAUGUUAGAAUGUUUGUGUCGGACCAAGCCUACUUAUGCUUCUGCUGGUUCCUGAAUCCUGACAAUGUAGUAGCCUUCGUUUGCUGCACCCAAGUUAGUGGAUUGCAGUGAAACCUGACCAUGUUUUGGCUUUCUACUUACUAGGGGAAAUUGUAAUCAAACUAGAAAUUAACAGCACUUGUAAAGAAAAUUUAAUGAACAACCUUUAUUUAUUUAUAUAUGUUUGCCUACCGUUUGAUGUAUGUUUGCAACUUUGCUUGUAACCAGUAAGGGUUGAAGUGAAUGAAUCUCCAAGUGCUUUAGCGAUUGAUGCUCUCUCCCAAGUUAAUCAUGUUCUAGUUCCAAUCACCGACCGCAACCCUUACCUUUCAGAAGGCACAAGACAUGUUUGUUUCCCUUUUCUGAUAUUUGAUUGUUUGAGUUUCAUUGCUAAAGAAUCAUGUAUAUGUAGAUUGCAUUGAUAGUUUAGGGGACUCUAAACAUUGUGGCCAAUUUCCAGGGCAGUUUUAUUAUGCCCAUUAGUUACACCAUAGUUUUCUUUGAANNNNNNNNNNUUCCUUCAUGGAAUGCAAUAGUUGUUCUUUUUUAAAUUGGCUUACCCAUAAUGGCUGAUGAUGUGCCAGGCUGCAGCCACAACCACUUCUCUAGCAAAGAAGUAUGGAGCAAGCAUUACAGUAGUUGGUCUGAUCUCACUUCCUUUAAAAUGUUACCUUUUCUUGCUUAAGCUAUUGCGCAUAUUCGUUUAUAUAGCUUAAAUNNNNNNNNNNNNNNNNNNNNNNNNNNNNNNNNNNNNNNNNNNNNNNNNNNNNNNNNNNNNNNNNNNNNNNNNNNNNNNNNNNNNNNNNNNNNNNNNNNNNAUAAUAGAAUAGAUAGAUAUGUUUGUGAUUUCAUAUGUGUUAGCUCUUGUUCUACCUCCAUUGUUGACAUUCUUAGAGCUUGCUUACUCUCAAUCCCUCCAAUGAUUCUUGCUUGUUCUUGAGGGAAAAGAGAGAGGAGAUCUAGAUCCACAUCUCCACCAAUCACUUUCUCCUCUAUGUGAGGGGAACCCCUUGGAUCUUGAUCUUGGAGUUCUUUGUGAGCUCCUUGUUCUUCCUCUCAUAUUUCUCCAUAGCUUUUAUUGUUGUGGAGGGAUUUGAGUGUGAGGGACUUGACCACUUCGUGUGUUCUUGCCAUUGCAUUUGUUGCAUCGGUUUGAGUUCUCCACGGUGAUACGUGGAAGUGAAGUUUGAGAAGCUUAUUACCUUUGGUACUUAGUACCCUAGAUAUUGUUCUUCGUGGAUGCUUUGGCGUCCUAGAAGCUUGGUGGUGUCUCGGAGCUCAAUCAUUGUGGUGUGAAGCUCCGGGCAAGCGUCGGGGUCUCCAAUUAGGUUGUGGAGAUUGCCCCGAGCAAUUUGUACGGGUACCGGUAACCGCCCCCANNNNNNNNNNNNNNNNNNNNNNNNNNNNNNNNNNNNNNNNNNNNNNNNNNNNNNNNNNNNNNNNNNNNNNNNNNNNNNNNNNNNNNNNNNNNNNNNNNNNAACAAAGACUUAACCCCCCGUGGCCCAUCUGGGCCUAGUGGCCCAGCCGGCCACCUCCACGGCCAAACCUUAGCGCCCCCGCGCCUCCCACUCUCUCCCUGCCGCCGCGAGGACGAGGGGAACACCCCCUCAUCAAAUCCCACCUACCACUCCCCUCGUCACGCCCCCCCACCAACCGCUCGAGCCCCCCACCUACUACUCUUGUCGCUCGAGCCCCUGCCUCCCUCGCUCCCUCCCCAUCUCCCGUCGCCCCCACCUCACCUCGAGCUCGCGCACUCCCUGCACCCCUCCACUCGCCGGUGGCCCUGCCUCCCCCCCGUGAGCUUCUCCCACGCACCGGCAGCACUUCCCUCCGGUUAACCCUCCCGCCGACUGGAACUCUCCACCGGUGCCCUCGGCCGGGGCUCCUCCGGCCACGGUGGCCCUCCGCCUCGCCGCCCCAUCGUCGGAUCCACACCACCGUCCCGGGAUCGCCUCCCCAACAUCGUCACCAUCACCAGAGGCUCCUCCUCGUCGGAACCGCGCCGACUCCCCGUGCACUCCGGCUACUCCAAGCCUUCCCGUCAACGCCGGUGAGCUCCGGGACCCGGCCAUCCUCUCCUCCUCCUUCUCCCGGUUAAAUUCCGGCGAUCGCCGCAGCGUUCCGGCGCCGUUGGGCUCGUGGAGGUGGAGGUGGACCUUGCCUCCUCUCUCUCUCUAUUUAGGUUCCUGUGAGGAGAGAGAUGUCCGCGAGGUUGGAGAAAGAGAGGUAAAGAUAAAAAAAUGUAUAUGUGCAUGUAUGUAUGUAUUGCGUAUGUAUGCAUGUAUGUAAAAAUACUACAUUAUGUAUAUGGGUAUGUAUAUGUGUGUGAACGUUGGCUCACUUACAUAUGGGGUCAACCCCCUCAUUCCCACUAACACGGAGGCCCCACACCCGCUUUAAAAAAAAGAAAAAGAAAAAAUAUAUAUGUUUUUAUUAAUAAAAUAAAUAAAAAGAUAGUUAGAUAUAUUAUUUAACUAAUUAGUUAAUUAAUUAAAUAUAUUAUUUAGAUAAUCUGUUAAUUAGGAUAAUUAAAUUAUCCUAUUAGAGUAUGACACGUGGGUCCCCACUAAAUUAAUGUGAUUAAUUAAUAUUAAACCUAAUUGAAAACUGAGUCUAUGACGCAGAGGACCCACUGGCCAGUUGACCAGUCAACUGCUGAUGUCAGCAUGGCAUCAUGCUGAUGUCAUAAUUGUAUUUCAUUAAUUAAUUAAUUUGUUUUUAAUUCCUAAUUAUUGAAUAAAACUUCAAAAAUUAAUAUAAAAUAAUCCGUAAGUCAGAUCAAAAUAUUUUCAACAUGAAAGUUGAUCAGUAGAACGAGACGUACCUGGAUACACAAUCCAUUCGUGUGUCACGCAUCCCUAGCAUAGAAAACGUGGAACUUUUCCAUCGAUUUGAGUCUCACCGGUAGUAGCUAGAGAUGCGGGAAAUAUCAUCUGAUAUUCUCCCGACCCGUCUAUGAUGAAUGUUACUGCGUUAGCUCAUGCCUAGUCUGCAUAUUGCCAUGUCAUGCUUAGUGUUGCACCUGUUGCUGUUAUUUAUUGUUUCUUCCCCCCUCUUCUUACCGGUAGACCCCGAUACUGACGCUAUUGCCGGGUACAUCUACGACCCUGCCAAUCAACCCUUUGCUGCAGAGCAACAAGGCAAGCAAACCUCCCUUGAUCAUCCCUAUAUCGCCUAUGUCUUUCUUCCUGCUGCUUGCAUUAGAAUUUUGCUACUGUUGUAGUUAGCUCCUAUAUCCGAUGCAUAGCCUAAUUUUGAUGAACUGCUACUUUCAGUACUGCACCUUUAAACUAUUUAGUAUAGGUGGAGAAGUCUUCCCCUCUGACCCCGUAGUCCAGUUGCCCCGCUUUGUUUUCAAGUCUCGAUCCCUGAUCGACGAGCCGGACCCGACACCGCACUUACACCCCCCUUAGUUGUGCGACGCGACAGAGAUACUAUCGGGUACCGAGGGUGACACCUCGCGAAGUACUCCUAAUGAUAUCUCUGUAGUACAGCUAGUUGGUCGUGGUUAUCGAGGGUGAUUCCUCUUUCACCAUUCCUGACGAUGCCUCUGUCGUGCAACCCCUCAAGUGUGGGACCCUCGAGGGUGAUUCCUCUAAGUCCACCUUGACGGUUACAUCGUUUGGAAUCCAACGAGGGUGAUGCCUCGGAUCCCCCUGAUGUUACAACCACACAGUUACUUGACCAUGUUACUGGGAUCGUUGAUGAAUAGAUGUUAGGUGGGUGGAUUCCCGCGUGUUUGUAUCGUUGGCUUAAUUAAAAUGAUAAUGGAUUUGGGUAUUUGAUCUGGGUUGGUCGGAAGGCCUUAUUACACAUUAACCGUCUGCGUGGGAAGAAUUAUGGGUACUCGACGUCGCGGUAUCAGCCGAAGCUCUUCAGAUGUCAGCGAUGUAGCGGCGCGCGCCCGAGUGGUCCUGAGAUGCAUCGCGCUUGUGAUUAAGGGUGCUAGGACUAACAUAGUCCGCCCUCGCAUCAUGCAGGAACGCGAAGGGCAAGUGGGCCCACGAACCCUUUGUGCUUAGGAAUUAGACCUACGGGCUGGCCUCUCUGUUGAGCUUAGGUGGGGUUGCGACGUGUCGAUAUUCCGAGGCUGGGAAUGACCCAGAAAAGUGUGUGUGGCCAGAGUAUUAUCGAGCGCGUCGGGGAAUAUGUUGUGCACCCCUCUAGGGAAGAAGUUAUCUAUUCGUAUAGGCGUGUCCAUGGUUACACGACGACUUGGAGUUGUGCCCUGAUCUUAUACAACUACAAUUGCUACUUAACUAGAAUUAGUUGCCCCGGGAUUGCUUCCUCGCACGGAGUCGAAGGAGGAUCUCUAGCGUGUCCUCAUAUUAAUAUUGCUGCAACAAUAUGACUAUUAAUUGUGUUACCUUGCUCUACUCUCGUCUAUUGCUGCAAGACCCUGAAGAUGCUAGUCUUCGGUAGGACUAGGCCUUCUCUCUCUAUUCUCGCAUUGCUGCAGUCAGUCCACUUGUAAAUCCCCCCUUCUUUGAUAUUAAUGCAUACUUAGCUUAAUUCUGAUGUAAGAUUUGCGAGUACUUUGGAUGAGUACUCACCGUUCCUUUACUCCCCCUUUGCCCCUUGAUCCGUUGCUGCGACCAGAUGAUGGAGCCCAGGAGAUGGAGUUUCCUACCGACGCCUGCCACCACGUUGGUCACUUCUUCAUGGAGGCUGCACAAGACCAUGAGUAGUUUAGGAGGUUCCCAGGUAGGAGGCCUCUCCUCGUUCGAUCGUGUUUCUCUUGUGCUAGCCUUCUCUAAGGCACCCCAUGUUUAUAUCUGUACUCAGAUAUUGUUGCUUCUUCUGACUCGUGUGCUUAUCGAGCUUCUGUAUUCUAGCCCUCGAGGCCCCUCGCUUGUAAUAUGAAGCUUGUAUUGUUUCAUUUGUGUUUAGAGUUGUGUUGUGAUAUCUUCCCGUGAGUCCUUGAGUUUGAUCGUAUGCAUUUGCGUGUAUGAUUAGCGUACGAUUAAACGGAGUGCGUCACACCAGGGCUAGCGCUCCGCAUGCAUGUCCUUUGUUGACGUCGCGGGUGUGUGCAUCCACGUGAAGGCCGGAAAGAAGGUCGAGAGCUACCGGCACCAUUGGGUAUUCAUGAACGCGCGCUAGGAGAGCUCGCUCUUGGCAACUCCCUUGGGUCUGCCCGAGCAAAUCCCUGGGUGGAUCCACAAGAAGCUCACUGACCCAAGGGCGGGGCCCGUCCUGGAGCGAAUCUCCUUCCUCGCAGAGGCCCACCACACAUGGGCGAUGAUUAACAAGGAGUUCCUUGGGCAUCGCAUCGCGCCGCUCCAGGCGCACUCGCGCGCCUUGUGGGAAUUCAGUCAUGGUGGAGAUCUAAUGCUCGUGCAAAUCAGCGACCUAACAUACAAUGAGCUGCAUGGGGCCUUGGGGGCUCUGCUAGGUCCUUGCCCUGAGGACCUCCCGUAGGCCACGCCGUCGUUGUACGCAUGUGAAGACAUGGAGGGAAUGGUCGUGGAGAUGGUCGCCUCCAACGAAUGGGGGAUCGUCUGGCCACACAAGGGCUCCCCCAUCAUCGUCUCAUCCUUGGUCAAAGACGAUAGUGACCAGGACUCGGAGGCGACGAAAGGGGGUAGACGUCGGCCAGAUUCCGCCGCACAACCUCCAUCCGUAACUAUGCAUUCUUGGGGACGGUGCUCAUGUGAAUGAGAGACACCACGCGACCCCCCUGAUCCCGUGGCCUCGGGAGAAGUAGCGGGGCUGGGCCCGUGAUGGCCGAGGCGUCGGCGGUGGGAGCCCCUAACGAUGGUGUCACGCCUCCCUCGACAACGGUUGUACUUCCCCAUGGGGGCCCUCGGGCUCCUAUGGAAGAGGGAGGCCACAGAAAGCUUGCCGGGGACCGUGUCGAGCGCCCCUCUGGCGGUGGCGGGGCGGCGCUUGAGGGUGGGAAAGAUGGGUCGCCCACCACUAAGUGUUGGAGAACGUUGCAUAGAAAACGAAAAAAUUCCUACGCACACACAAGAUCUAUCCAUGGUGAUGACCAUCUACGAGAGGAGAGAUUGUAUCUACAUACCCUUGUAGAUUGCUAAGCGGAAGCGUAUAUAACGCGAUUCAUAUAGUCGAACAUCUUCAUGGUCCAAAUCGUAGUCCGUCCUGCGAUCUCAUCACGACCCGUCCCGAGAUCCCAUCAGAUCCAUCCCGAUCUUGUGCGGGACUUAAGGCACCUCCACGUUCAGCACACAUACAGCUCGAUGAAGAUCUCUGCCUUCUUGAUCCAGCAAGAGGGGGCGAAGAGGUAGCUGAGUUCUCCGAUACCCUAAGGGCAUGGUGGCGAUGGUGGUGGAUCUGAUCCGACAGGGCUUCGUCGUGCACUGCCGAACCUAAUCUAGAGGAAGAACAAACUAGAGGGAGGGAGAGGGGUUGUGCCUUCGAUUGAGGUGCCGCUACCCUCUCUCCCCUCCAUCAUAUAUAGGAGGGAGGUGGAAGGGGUGGCACCUUAGGGUUUCCCCUAGGGUUCGCCGGCCGCGCCCAAGAGGGGGAGGAGUCCUCCUCCAAGUGGGUUUGGUGGAGGCGCUAGGAGGACUCUUCCUCUUAGUCGAAAUCCUCCCCUUCUCCAAUAUUUUGGAUUCAUAGGCCCAUGAGGCUGCCUCCUAGCCCACUAGGGGCUGGUAUGCCACUUCUUAGGCCUAUGUGGCUCCCUGGGGUGGUUGGCCCCUCCCGGUGAACCCCUGGAACCUUUUCAUAACUCCCGAUACACUAUCAGAAAUGCCCGGAACUUUUCCGGAACCCAAGUACCCUCUUCCUAUAUCAAUCUUCAUCUCUCGACAAUUCCAGAACUCCUCGUGACGUCCGGGGAUCUCAUCUGGGACUCCUAACAAGCUUCGUUCACCAACAUACAUAACUCAACUAUAUUGAAACAUCACCGAACCUUAAGUGUGCAGACCAUGUGGGUUCGAGAAUUAUGCAGACAUGACCGAGACACUAUCCGGUCAAUAACCAAUAGCGACACCUGGAUGCCCAUAGUGGCUCCUACAUAUUCUAUGAAGAUCUUCAUUGACCGAACCUCUAUGUCAAGGAUUCAGUUAAUCCCGUAUACUAUUCCAUUUGUCCAUCGGUAUGUUACAUGCCCGAGUUUCGAUCGAUGGUAUCUUUACACCCAGUUUAAUCUCGUUACCAGCAAGUCUCUUAACUCAUUCUGUAAUACAAAAUCCCGUGACUAAUCUUUAGUCACAUUGCUUGCAAGGUUGUUGUGAUAUUUGUUGGAAAUAUGCCUUAGAGGCAAUAAUAAAUUAGUUAUUAUUAUAUUUCUUUGUUCAUGAUAAUCAUUUAUUAUCCAUGCUAUAAUUGUAUUGAUUGGAAACACAAUACUUGUGUGGAUACAUAGACAAAACACUAUCCCUAGUAAGCCUCUAGUUGACUAGCUCGUUGAUCAAAGAUGGUCAAGGUUUCCUGACCAUAGGCAAGUGUUGUUACUUGAUAACGGGAUCACAUCAUUAGGAGAAUCAUGUGAUGGACAAGACCCAAACUAUGAACGUAGCAUAUUGAUCAUGUCGUUUUAUUGCUAUAGUUUUCUGCGUGUCAAGUAUUUGUUCCCAUGACCAUGAGAUCAUAUAACUCACUAGCACCGGAGGAAUACCUUGUCUGUAUCAAACGUCACAACGUAACUGGGUGACUAUAAAGAUGCUCGACAGGUAUCUCCGAAGGUGUCCAUUGAGUUACUAUGGAUCAAGACUGGGAUUUUUCACUCCGUGUGACGGAGAGGUAUCUCGGGGCCCACUCGGUAAUACAACAUCACACACAAGCCUUGCAAGCAAUGUGACUUAGUGUAUGUCACAGGAUCUUGUAUUACGGAACGAGUAAAGAGACUUGCCGGUAAACGAGAUUGAAAUAGGUAUGCGGAUACCUACGAUCGAAUCUCGGGCAAGUAACAUACCGAAGGACAAAGGGAAUGACAUACGGGAUUAUAUGAAUCCUUGACAGUGAGGUUCAACCGAUAAGAUCUUCGGAGAAUAUGUAGGAUCCAAUAUGGGCAUCCAGGUCCCGCUAUUGGAUAUUGACCGAGGAGUCUCUCGGGUCAUGUCUACAUAGUUCUCGAACCCGUAGGGUCUGCACACUUAAGGUUCAACGAUGUUUUAUGCGUAUUCGAGUUAUAUGGUUGGUUAACCGAAAGUUGUUCGGAUUCCCGGAUUAGAUCCAGGACGUCACGAGGAGCUCCAGAAUGGUCCGAAGGUAAAGAUUGAUAUAUAGGAAGUCCUGUUUUGGUCACCGGAAAAGUUUCGGGCUCAUCGGUAGUGUACCGGGAGUGCCGGGAGGGGUGCCGGGGACCAUCGGGAGGGGUGUCACGCCCCAAGGGGUCUCAUGGGCUAUGGGAAGAGAUAAACCAGCCCCUAGUGGGCUGGAAUAAGUUCCCACUAAGGCCCAUAAGGUUUGAGAAGGAAAAAACACAAGGUGGAAAGAGUUUCCAAGUGGGAAGGUGGAAUCCUACUCUAAGUAGGAUUGGAGUAGGACUCCCCCACCUCCAAUUUCGGCCAAACCUUGAGGGUUUGAGGCUGCCUCCUCCCCUCCCUCCCUCCUAUAUAUACUGAGGUAUUAGGGCUUAUUUGAGACAACUUUUCCACGGCAGCCCGACCACAUACCUCCACGGUUUUUCCUCUAGAUCGUAUUUCUACGGAGCUCGGGCGGAGCCCUGCUGAGAUAGAUCACCACCAACCUCAGCAGCGCCAUCACACUGCCGGAGAACUCAUCUACCUCUCCGUCUCUCUUGCUGGAUCAAGAAGGCCGAGAUCAUCGUCGAGAUGUACGUGUGCUGAAGGCGGAGGUGCCGUCUGUUCAGCACUAGAUCGGAACGGAUCGUCAGAUGGAUCGCAAGACGGUUCAUGCAACGGAUCACGAGAUGGUUCGUGGGACCGAUCGCGGGACGGAUCGCGGGAUGGUUCGUGGGACGGUUCGCGGGGCGGAUCGAGGGACGUGAGGACGUUCCACUACAUCAACCGCGUUUCUUAACGCUUCUGCUGUGCGAUCUACAAGGGUACGUAGAUCAAAAAUCUCCUCUCGUAGAUGAACAUCACCAUGAUAGUUAUUGCGUGUGCGUAGGAAAAUUUUCGUUUCCCAUGCGUCGUUCCCAACAAUAUUUUAUUACCGAGUGGGCCUUAGAGAUACCUCUCCGUCAUACCCUUGGAGAUACCCUUGGAGAUACCUAUAGAGCAUCUUUAUAGUCACCGAGUUACGUUGUGACAUUUGAGACACACAAGGCAUUCCUACGGUGUCCGGGAGUUGCAUGAUCUCAUGGCCAUACGAACAAAUACUUGACAUGCGAAAACAGUAGCAAUAAACUGACACGAUCACAUGCUACGUUCAUAGUUUGGGUCUUGUCCAUCACAUCAUUCUCCUAAUGAUGUGAUCCCGUUAUCAAACGACAUCUCAUGUCUAAGGUUAGGAAACCUUGACCACCUUUUAUCAACAAUCUAGUCCUUAGAGGCUCACUAGGGACAGUGUGUUGUCUAUGUACCCACACAUGUAUUUGAGUUUCCAAUCAAUACAAUUCUAGCAUGGAUAAUAAAUGGUUAUCAUGAACAAGGAUAUAUAAUAGUAACUAAUUUAUUAUUGCCUAUAGGGCAUAUUUCCAACAGUCUCCCACUUGCACUAGAGUCAAAAAUCUAGUUCACAUCACUAUGUGAUUCACACCCAAUAAGUUCUGGGGUUUAAUCAUGUUUUAUUUUGAGAGAUGUUUUAGUCAACGUGUCUGAACCUUUCAGAUCCAUGUGUGCUUUACAAAUCUCUAUGUCAUACUAUAGAUGUUGCUACCACGCGCAAGUUGGAACUAUUCCAAACAACUACUGCACUAUACGAAUCCGGUUUGCUACUCAGAGUCAUCCGCAUUGGUGUCAAAGCUUGCAUCGACGUAACCCUUUACGAUGAACUCUUUCAUCACCUCCAUAAUCGAGAAACAUUUCCUUAGUCCUCAAGUUACUAAGGAUAAUUUUGACCGUUGUUCAGUGAUUUAUUCCUGGAUCAGUCUUUGUACCCCUUGACAGACUCAUGGGAAGGCACACAUCAGGUGCGGUACACAACAUGGCAUAUUAUAUAUCAUAUGGCUAAGUCAUAGGGGACGACCUUCGUCCUUCCUCUUUCUUCUGUCAUGGUCGGGCUUCGAGUCUUACUCAAAUUCACAGCUUACAAUACAAUCCAGAACUCCUUCCUUGACUGAUCCAUUUUGAACUCCUUCAAAAAAUUUGUCAAGGCAUGUCUUUAUUGAAAGUUUUAUCAAGCAUCUUGAUCUAUCUUGUAUAGAUCUCGAUCCCCAGUGUUCAAGCAACUUAAUUCAGGUUUUCCUUUGAAAAACUCCUUUCAAACAACCCUAUAUGCUUUCCAGAAAUUCUACAUCAUUUCCGAUCAACAAUAUGUCAACCACAUAUACUUAUCAGAAAUUUUAUAGUGCUCCCACUCACUUUCUUAAAAAUACAAGUUUCUCAUAAACUUUGUAUAAACCUAAAAGCUUUGAUCAUCUUCAUCAAAGCGCACAUUCCAACUCCGAGAUGCUUGCUCCAGUCCAUAGAAGGAUCGCUGGAGUUUGCAUACUUGUCAGCAUCCUUAGGAUCGACAAAACCUUCUGGUUGUAUCACAUACAACCUUUCCUCAAGGAAACCGUCGAGGAAACAAUGUUUUGACAUCCAUCUGCAAGAUUUCAUAAUUAAAAAAUGCAUCAGCUGCUAACAUAAGUCCAACAUAGUUUAACAUCGCUACAGGCAAGAAAGUCUCAUCGUAGUCAACUCCUUGAACUUGUCGGAAACCUCUUUGCGACAAGUCGAGCUUUCUAAAUGGUGACAUUCACCAUCAUCGUAUGUCUUCCUUUUAAAGAUCCAUUUGUACUUAAUAGCCUUACGACCAUCAAUUAGUUCUUCCAAAGUCUACACUUUGUUUUCAUACAUGGAUCCUACCUCGGAUUUCAUGGCGUCCAGUCAUUCGUCGGAAUCCAGGCCCACCAUCGUUUCUCCAUAGCUCGUAGGUUCAUUGUUGUUCGAAAACAUGACCUCCAAGACAGGAUUACCAUACCACCUUGGAGUAGUGCGUAUCCCUGUCGACCUACAAGGUUUGGAAGUAACUUGAUUUGAAGCUUCAUGAUAAUCAUCAUUGGCCUCCUCUUCAAUUUGGUGUAGGCGCCACACGAACAACUUCCUGUGCCCUGCUACACUCUGUUUGAAGUGACAGUACAGUAACCUCAUCAAGUUCCACUAUGCUCCCACUCAAUUCUUUUGAGAGAAACUCUUNNNNNNNNNNNCUCUUUCCCGAGAAAGGACUCUUUUCCGGAAACAAACACUUUGCUUUUCGAUCUGAGUUAGGAGGUAUACCCAACUAUUUAGGGUAUCCUAUGAAUAUGCAUUUAUCCACUUCGGGUUCGAGCUUAUCAGGCUAAAGACCUUUGACAUAAGCAUCAGAGCCCGAAACUUUUAAGAAACGACAGCAUAGGUUUCUCCAAACCAUAGUUCGUAUGGUGUCAUCCCAAUGGAAUUAAAUGGUGCCCUAUUUAAAGUGAAUUUGGUUGUCUCUAAUGCAUAACCCCAAAACAAUAGUGGUAAUUCGAUAAGAGACAUCAUAGUAUGCACCAUAUCUAAGAGGGCGCGGCUACGAUGUUCGGACACACCAUCACACUAUGGUGUUCCACGUGGCAUGAGUUGUGAAACAAUUUCCACAUUUGUCUUAAAUGUGUACCAAACUCGCAACUCAGGUAUUCAUCUCCAUGAUCACAUCAUAGACAUUUCAUCCUCUUGUCACGACGAUCUUCAACUUCACUCUAAAAUUGCUUACCCUUUUCAAUAAUUCAGACUCGUGUUUCAUCAAGUAAAUACACUAGUAUCUACUCAAAUCAUCUGUGAAGUAAGAACAUAACGAUAUCCACUGCGUGCCUCAACACUCAUUGGACUUCAUACAUCAAAAUCUAUUAUUUCCAAUAAGUAACUAUCUCGUUCCAUCUCACUAGAAAACGAGACCUUUAGUCAUCUUGCCCAUGUGGCAUGAUUUGCAUGUCUCAAGUGAUUUAAAAUCAAGUGAGUCCAAAAGAUCCAUAUUCAUGGAGUUUCUUCAUGCGUUUACACCAAUAGGCAUGGUUCACAUGUCUCAAACGAUUCAAAAACGAGUGAGUCCAAAGAUCCAUCAGUGUGGAGCUUCUUCAUGCAUUUACACCAAUAUGACUCAAGCGGAAAUGCCACAAGUAAGUGGUAAUAUCAUUACUACUUUUCAUCUUUUGGCAUUAAUAUUAUGAACAUGUGUAUCACUACGAUCGAGAUUCAAAAAACCAUUCAUAUUAACUGCAUGACCAUUGAAGGUUUUAUUCAAGUAAACAGAGUAUCCAUUAUUCUCUUUAAAUGAAUAACCUUAUUGCAAUAAACACGAUCCAAUCAUGUUCAUGCUCAAUGCAAACACCAAUCAAUAUUUAGGUUUAACACUAAUCCCGAAGGUAGAGGGAGCGUGCGAUGGUGAUCACAUCAACCUUGGAAACACUUCCAACACACAUCGUCACCUCGCCUUUAGCUAGUAUUCGUUUAUUCCGUAGUUUUUUAUUUCGAGUUACUAGCAUUUAGCAACUGAACCGGUAUCUAAUACCCAUGUGCUACUAGGAGUACUCGUAAAGUACACAUUAAUAACACGUAUAUCCAAUAUACUUUUGUUGACAAUGCUAGCCUUCUUAUCUACCAAGUGUCUAGGGCAGUUCUGCCUCAGUGAUCAUUCCCCUCAUCAUAGAAGCGCUCAGUCUCGGGUUGGGGUUCAACCUUGGGUUUCUUCAUUGGAGUGACAACUGACUUGUCAUUCUCCAAGUUUCCCUUCAUUCCCUAUGCCCUUCUUGAAACUAGUGGUUUUAGUAAUCAUCAAUAAUUGAUGCUCCUGCUUGAUUUCUACCUUUGUGGUGUCAAACAUUGUGAAUAGCUCAGGGAUCAUCAUCUCUAUCCUUGAUAUGAUUUAGUUCAUAACGAAGCUCGGUAGCUUCGUGGUAGUGACUUUUGAGAACUAUGGCAAUCACUAUUUUAUCUAGAAUAUCAACUACCACUCGAUUCAAGCGAUUGUAGCACCCAGACAAUCUGAGCACAUGCUCAACGAUUGAGCUUUUCUCCCUUUCUUUGCAGGGAAAGAAUCUUGUCGGAGGUCUCAUACGUCUCAACACGGGCAUGAGCCUGAAAUCCUAAUUUCGGCUCUUGGAACAUCUCAUACGUUCCAUAACGUUCAAAAAUGUCUUGGGCGCCACAAUUCUAAGCCAUAAAGCAUGGCACACUGAACUAUCAUGAAGUCAUCAAAAACAUGUAUGUAAGAUGUUCGCAACAUCCACAAAUGAUGCUUGGGGUAGCACACCUAGUGGUGCAUUAAGGACAUAAGCCUUCUGUGCAGCAAUGAGUACAAUCCUAAGUUUUCGGACCGAGACCGCAUAAUUGCUAGUAUCAUCUUUCAACCUAGUUUUCUCUAGGAACAUAUCAAAAUACAGAGGAGCUACAGCGCAAUCUAAUCAACCAAUACAUAAUUUGCAAAGACAUUUUGACUAUGUUCAUGAUAAUGAGUUCAAUUAAUCAUAUUACUUAAGAACUCCCACUCAAAUUGACAUCCCUCUGGUCAUUUGAGUGGUACAUGAUCCAAAUCCACUAACCCAAGUCUAAUCAUCACGUGAGAUGAGUUGGCUUCAAUGGUGAACAUCUCUAUGUUGAUCAUAUCUACUAUAUGACUCAUGUUCGACCUUUCGGUCUCUUGUUUUCCAAGGCCAUGUUUGUACAUGCUAGGCUCAUCAAGUUUAACCCGAGUUUUCCGGGUGUGCAGAACUGUCUUACACUCGUUGUAUGUGAACUUAGAGCCUAUCACACCCGAUCAUCAUGUGGUGUCUCGAAACGACGAACUUUCGCAACGGUGCACACUCGGGGAUUAAUAACGAACACAAUUUUAUCUUGAAAUUUUAGUGAGGGAUCACUUUAUAAUUCUACCUCGUCGUAAGCCAAACAAGGUGCAUAAAAAGGAUUAAUAUCACAUGCAAAUCAUAAGUGACAUGAUAUGGCCAUGAUCUUGUGCUUUUGAUCUCCAUCUCCAAAGCACUAGCAUGAUCUCCAUCAUCACCGGCACUACACCAUGAUCUCCAUCAUUGUGCUGCCAUCGAGGUUGUCGCGCCAACUAUGUUGUUACUACUAAAGCUACUCAACUAGCGAUAAAGUAAAGCAUCAGCAAGCGCCAUAAUAAAUUAAAGACAACCCUAUGACUCCUGCAGGUUGCUGUAGCAUCGACAUGCAAGUCGGUAUUUAACUAUUACAACAUGAUCAUCUCGUACAUCAAAUAUAUAACAUGAUGUUUUUUGCCAUAUCAUAUCACAUGAUACCCUGCAAAAACAAGUUAGACGUCCUCUAACUUGUUGUUGCAUGUUUUACGUGGUUGCUAUGGGUAUCUAGCAAGAACAAUUCUUACCUACGCAAAAUCACAACGAUGAUAUACAAGUUGUUAUUUAACCUUCUUCAAGGAUCGCCUCUGUCAAAUCCGAUUCAACUAGAUUAGGAGAAACAGACACCUGUCUGCCAUCUUUAUGCAACAAGUUGCAUGUUAGUCGCUGGAACCGGUCUCUCGUAAGUGUAUGAGUAAGGUUGGUUCUGAUCAAGAAAAGACUAAGGAGGGAUGCCAUUUGAAUAUCAACGCCCAUAAACUCCUUUGUGUUCUACUCAAGAUGUCAUCUACGCAUAGUUCUAGCUCUGAUACCACUACUGUGGAACGUUGCAUGGGAAACAAAAAAAUCCUAUGCACACACAAGAUCUAUCCAUGGUGAUGACCAUCUACGAGAGUUGAGAUUGUAUCCACAUACCCUUGUAGAUCGCUAAGCGGAACCAUAUAUAACGAGGUUGAUGUAGAUGAACAUCUUUGUGAUCCAAAUCACAGUCCCUCUCGCGAUCUCAUCACAAUCCAUCCCGAAAUCACAUCCCGAUCUAGUGCAGGACGGAAGGCACCUCCGCGUUCAGCACACUUACAGCUCGAUGACGAUCUCCGCCUUCUUGAUCUAGCAAGAGGGUGUGAAGAGGUAGCUGAGUUCUCCGACAGCCAAACGGCAUGGUGGCGAUGGUGGUGGAUCUGAUCCGACAGGGCUUCGUCGUGCACUGCCGAACCUAAUCUAGAGGAAGAACAAACUAGAGGGAGGGAGAGGGGUUGUGCCUUCGAUUGAGGUGCCGCUACCCUCUCUCCCCUCCACCAUAUAUAGGAGGGAGGGGGAAGGGGUGGCGCCCUAGGGUUUGGUGGAAGUGCUAGGAGGACUCCUCCUCCUAGUCAAACUCCUCCCCUUAUCCACUAUUUCAGCUGCAUAGGCCCAUGGGGCUGGCCGCCCAGCCCACUAGGGGCUGGUGUGCCACCUCUUAGGCCUAAGUGGCCCCCGGGGUGGUUGUCCCCUCCUGGUGAACCCCGAGAACCCAUUCGUCACUCCCGGUACACUACCGAAAAUGCCCAAACUUUUCUAGAACCCAAAUACCCUUUUCCUAUAUAUCAAUCUUCAUCUCCGAACCAUUCUGGAACUCCUCGUGAUGUUCGGGAUCUCAUCCGGGACUACGAACAACCUUCGGUCACCAACAUACAUAACUCAACUAUACCGGAACAUCACUGAACCUUAAGUGUGCAGACCCUGCGGAUUCGAGAACUAUGUGGACUUGGCCGAGACAUUCUUCGAUCAAUAACCAAUAGUGGUACUUGGAUGCCCAUAUUGGCUCCUACAUAUUCUACGAAGAUCUUUAUCGGUCGAACCUCUGUUUCAAGGAUUUAGUUAAUCCCAUAUACUAUUCCCUUUGUCCGUCGGUAUGUUACUUGCCCGAGAUUCGAUCGUCGGUAUCUUUAUACCUAGUUCAAUCUCAUUACUGGCAAGUCUCUUUACUCGUUCCGUAAUACAAAGUCUCGUGACUAACUCUUUAGUCGCAUUACUUGCAAGGCUUGUUGUGAUAUUGUAUUACCGAGUGGACCCUAGAGAUACCUCUCCGUCAUACGGAGUGACAAAUCCCAUUCUCGAUUCACGCCAACCCAACAAACACCCUCGGAGAUACCUGUAGAGUACCUUUAUAGUCACCCAGUUAUGUUGUGACGUUUGAUACACACAAGGCAUUCCUCUGGUGUUCGGGAGUUGCAUGAUCUCAUGGUCAUAGGAACAUAUACUUGACAUGCAGAAAACAGUAGCAAUAAACUGACACAAUCACAUGCUACAUUCAUAGUUGGGUCUUGUCCAUCACAUCAUUCUCCUAAUGAUGUGAUCUCGUUAUGAAACGACAUCCCAUGUCUAUGGUUAGGAAACCUUGACCAUCUUUGAUCAAUGAGCUAGUCCUUAGAGGCUCACUAGGGACAGUGUGUUGUUUAUGUACCAACACACAUAUAUUGGAGUUUCCAAUCAAUACAAUUCUAGCAAGGAUAAUAAAAGUUUAUCAUAAACAAGGAAAUAUAAUAAUAACUAAUUUAUUAUUGCUUCUAGGGCAUAUUUCCAACACCGAUAAGAAGUGGAAGUGGGCCGUCGGGGACGAGUAAGUAUCUUAGCCCGUGCUCAUGCUAUUCACCCGCGGUCGGUUUACCCACGCAAACCCUUUUCUAGUGCACGCUCUGUGGCGGCGGUGAGGAGAAGAAGAAGAAGGCCGCCAUUGGGGCGAAGGUGAUGCAGGUCUUGAGGGUGCCUUCAUCCCUUGGUCGGGGCAUAUGUGGGCGUAGUGGUAGCUCGCGGAAGUCGGGCGCCGCUCUCAAGCGCACAAGCGGCAGCGCAUCUUUAAGCGUCCCUUCAUGCGGCAAGGAGACAUGAGUGCCAAAGCCGCGGCGGCCCAGCCGCCACCGCCACCGGCCAAGGCUACGACGGUCCAGCCCCCGAUGCCAACUGUCCAGGCCACGGCCACUGCCAGGGCCGUGGAGGCAGGGGCAAUGGCCUUCGUGAAAGUGUUGCGGACGCCUGAUGUCGUGGAGGACCCAGAGCACCCGACACCCCAAGCAGAGGGCACCGAGGCUGUUCUGGUUGCGAUAAUAGGCAGCAUCGUGAUGGAAGCACCUUCAGAGGCCCUCACCCUGAUGGCCCAAGACAUGUUGGUCCGCGGCGGGCCCCUGACCGACGCCCUAAACUUGCUCGACCGACUUGAGGUAGAUUUCUAGGACGCCGAGGUGCGCCUAACCGAAGAAUGCGCGAGGUUGGCCUCGGGGUGGCCCCAACUUGAGGCCUCCGCCAAGGAGGUCAGAGGCGAGGUCGAGGCCGUUCGUGCGGAAGGCCGCCGAGGCAAAGGCCUCCAGCGCGAGCGCACUUGCCGAGAAGGAAGCGCUCACCAAGCGCUGCGAAGAAGUGAUGACCCACAAGUGUAGGGGAUCUAUCGUAGUCCUUUUGAUAAGUAAGAGUGUCAAAGUCAACGAGGAGCACAAGGAUCUGACAAUUGGUUUUCAGCAAGGUAUUCUUUGCAAGCACUGAAAUUACCGGUAACAUAUAGUUGUGUGAUAAGACAAUUCGUGGCGAGUAGCAAGUAACAAUAGUAACAAAGGUGCAGCAAGAUGGCCCAAUCCCUUUUGUAGCAAGGGACAAGCCUGGACAAACUCUUAUAGGAGGUAAAGCGCUCCUGAGGACACAUGGGAAUUUAUGUCAAGCUAGUUUUCAUCAUGUUCAUAUGAUUCACGUUUGCUACUUUGAUAGUUUGAUAUGUGGGUGGACCGGUGCUUGGGUGCUGCCCUUACUUGGACAAACAUCCCACUUAUUAUUAACCCCUCUCGCAAGCAUCCGCAACUACGAAAGAAGAAUUAAGACAAAGUCUAACCAUAGCAUUAAACUAGUGGAUCCAAAUCAGCCCCUUACGAAGCAACGCAUAAACUAGGGUUUAAGCUUGUGUCACUCUAGCAACCCAUCAUCUACUUAUUACUUCUCAAUGCCUUCCUCUAGGCCCAAAUAAUGGUGAAGUGUUAUGUAGUCGAUGUUCACAUAACACCACUAGAGGAAAAACAACAUACAACGCAUCAAAAUAUCGAACGAAUACCAAAUUCACAUGACUACUUAUAGCAAGACUUAUCCCAUAUAGUCAGGAACAAAAGUAGCUACUCACAAAGCAUAAUUAUGUUCAUGACUAGAGAGGUAUUGAAUAGCAUCAAGGAUCUGAACAUAUAAUCUUCCACCGAGUAAUCCAACUAGCAUCAACUACAAAGAGUAAUUAACACUACUAGCAACCUUACAAGUACCAUUCAGAGUCGCGAGACGGAGAGUGGUUACAAGAGAUGAACUAGGGUUUGGAGAUGAGAUGGUGCUGAUGAAGAUGUUGAUGGUGAUGAGUCCCCUUCGAUGAGAGGAGUGUUGGUGAUGACGAUGGCGACGAUCUCCCCCUCCGGGAGGGAAGUUCCCCGGCAGGACGGCCGUGCCGGAGCUCUAGAUUGGUUCUGCUCAAGUUCCGCCUCGUGGCGGCGGCGAAUCCUCCCGAAAGCCUCCUCCUGAUUUUUUCUGGAACGAAACCCUCCUUAUAGCAAAGGAUGGGAGCCAGAGGGCCAACAAGGAGCCCACAAGCCCCCUAGGCGCGGCCAAGGGGUAGGUCACGCCUAGCAGGCUUGUGGCCUCCUGGUGGCUCCCCUCUGGUACUUCUUCCGCCCAGUAUUUUUUAUAAAUUCCAAAAUAAUUCCUCGUUGAUUUUCACGGAUUUUGGAGUUGCACAGAAUAGGUAUCUCAAACUUGCUCCUUUUACAGGCCAGAAUUCCAGCUGCCAGCAUUCUCCCUCUUCAUGUAAACGUUGUAAAAUAAGAGAGAAAAGGCAUAAGUAUUGUACCGUGAAGUGUAAUAACAGCCCAAAAAGCGACAAAUAACAACAUAAAAGCAUGAUGCAAAAUGGACGUAUCAGCUCCCCCAAGCUUAGACCUCGCUUGUCCUCAAGAGGAAGCCGAGAUCAAUAAAUAUGCCCACAUGUUUAGAGAUAGAGGUGUCGACAAAACAAGAUACAGACAUGCAGGCAUCAUGAUCAUAAUCAGAACAGCAAUAACAUCAUAUAAUAUCUUAUGCUAAAGUGAUAAUUCCUUCACAAAGUAAAGUAUGGAUCAAGAACCUUAUUGAGAAUUAACAACCAAUAGCCCUUAGUCAUUGAAGCAAUUGUAAUUUAUCAUAUUAUCAGAAAGAGACAAGUAAGAGCUUGUAAAGCAAAUCCACAUACUCAAUCAUCCUUUCGUCUUCUACAAUUGCUACAACUCACAUGGUACUAAUGAGAUCAAAGUUUCACUUCGACACAGAGAAAGAUAGGGGCUUAUAGUUUUGCCUCCCAACUAUUUACCUCAAGGGUAAUGUCAACGAUAAUAAUUCAUGAUUACUUACUUCCAAGUUGACAUAUGAAUAUAGAUAUUUCCCUAGCACGUGACGUUAGCUAAGAUAAUGGCGAAAUAAGGAAUUGGUGUCGAUCACCAUGACUCUUUUAAGGACAAAAAUUAAAGGUACAAGAUAGGCCCUUCGCAGAGGGAAGAAGAGGUUGUCAUGCGCUUUUGAAGUUUGGAUGUGUGACCUCUUAGUGUGAAAGAAUGUCACUUUAUAUUGCCUCAUGUGAUAAAGAACUUUAUUAUGCAGCCCGUCGCUUUUAUGUCUUCCUCAUCACAGGUUCGUACAAAGCUUAUUUUCCACACACUAAUAGAUCGAACAUUUUUAGGGAGCAAUUUUUAUUGCUUGCACCGAUGACAACUUACUUGGGGGAUCUUCUUCAAUCCAUAGGUAGGUAUGGUGGGCUCUCAUGGCAAAAUUGGGUUGAAGGUUUAUGGAUGCACAAGUAGUAUCUCUAGUUAGUGCGGAAGUUUUGGCUGAUAUGAGGUGAAAGCAAGCGUCACAUGCUAAGCGAUCUCUAGUCAUAUAACACUGUUCGAAACCAAGCAAACAUAAUUCAUUAUGUUGUCUUCCUUGUCCAACGUCUACUUCUAAGCAUGUAAUAGUUCAAUGAGUGUUCAAAAUCAUAGACGGUGUCAAAGAUGAUAUAUUUAUAUGUGAACAUAUCUUUCUUUAUUACUUCCUAUUAAUUGCAGCAAUGACCAAGGUCUACGUUUGUCCACCCACAACAAGUUUCAAUCAAUAUUCUUUUUAUAUGUGAACUCAUCACUUCCCAUAAGAUCAUUACAUGAUCUUUCAUGCUUUUGUUCUUUUAUCAUUCUUUUAUUUAGAUCAUGGCAUGAAGCAAGGCCCUUAACUAAAAGACUCUUUAUUAUAUGACUCACGAACUCGAAUACAUCGGGGGUGACACAAAGCAAAACUCAAACCUAGAAUACUAAGAACUUUAUUCUACUAGAGAAAGAUAAAACCAAAAAGGAUCGAACUAAGAAAAGGUAAAGGCAAAAGAUGUGAUGGUGAUACGAUAUCGGGGCAACUCCCCCAAGCUUGGCACAAGCCAAGGGGAUUUCCCAUACCCGUGCUUAAUUGUCUUCCUUUGAAGGUGAAGGUGGUGGAGUUGUUGCAACCUGGGUUUGAUCCUCCGUCUUCCAAGGCAGAGGUGCUCCAUCAUGGAAAGAUGAUCGAGUCUCCGGAAUCCUCAAAUCUGCAGCCAACCGUAUUGAUUUAAAUCUAUACUCAUACUCACAGUUUCGGUUCUCCAGGUCAUAGAUCUGGGCUUGGAGGUGAUCAAUUCUCUCAUAGAGCCUGGGGAGGUGCUUCCCGAUGUCAUUGGCAUCGAUCUUGUGCUUGUUGGUGAACUCCGUGAUCAUCAUGUGGUUGGCGUUGAGUCCGCAUUCCACCAUCCCUUGGCACUGGAAGACUUGCUGCUCCAUUGCUUCAAGCCUCGCCUCCACGCUUCCGGUCUUCUUGGGCCCCUCAACAUCACGGAUGUGGAGCACCCCCUCACGCAUCUCGAUAGAUUGAGGGUGUUGCAGCACUCCCUCAAGGUAGGGAUUAAUGACCUUCUCGAAGAACUUGUCCUACGGAACUUUUGGGGACGCCAUGGCGAUCUAGAUUUGUUUGCACAGCAGCUUGAAAUGAAAACAGAGGAAGAUUGCGUGAUACGAGGGUCAGACCUUUCGGGAGAAUAUAUAAUGAUUUUUUUCCGACCAGAAGGAGUACUCCGCAAGAAAAUGGAGUCUGGGAGGCACACGAGGUGGUCACAAGGCCCCCAGGCGCGGCCAGGGGGUGACCCGCACCUGGUAGGCUUGUCGCCUCCUCGUGCGCUUUCCGGGCUACUUUAAUUUUUUUGUAUUUAUCUAAAAAAAUCCAAAACGGAGAAAAAUUCCUACUCGAAAAGUUUUGGAGUCGGUUUACUUACCGAAUCACAUACCUCUUCGUUUUCGGAGUCUGAAACAGGCUAAUAAAUACCCCUUAUAUACUCCUCCGGAGUUAUGGUAUUAAUAAUAUUGCUUUCAACAUUUAUGGGAGUACCUGAGAUAUAAUGCUUGAUUCUUUGCCCAUUUACCACUCUCAAAAAAUUAUCUUCCGUGUUGUUGAUCUUGAUGGCACCGGAACGAUAUACUUCCUCAAUAAUGUAAGGACCUUCCCAUUUAGAGAGAAGCUUGCCUGCAAAAAAUCUUAAACGAGAAUUGUAUAGCAAGACAUAAUCACCUACAUUGAACUCACGUUUUUGUAUCCUUUUAUCAUGCCACCUCUUAACUUUCUCUUUAAACAACUUGGCAUUUUCAUAUGCCUGAGUUCUCCAUUCAUCAAGUGAGCUAAUAUCAAAUAACAUCUUCUCACCAGCAAGUUUGAAAUCAAAGUUGAGCUCUUUGAUUGCCCAAUAAGCCUUAUGCUCUAGCUCAAGAGGCAAAUGACAUGCUUUACCGUAAACCAUUUUGUAUGGAGACAUGCCCAUGGGAUUCUUAUAAGCAAUUCUAUAAGCCCACGGUGCAUCAUCAAGCUUCUUAGACCAAUUCUUUCUAGACCUAUUAAAAGUCUUCUGUAGAAUUAGUUUAAUCUCUCUAUUACUUAGCUCUACUUGACCACUGGACUGAGGAUGAUAGGGAGAUGCAACUCUAUGGUUGACAUCAUACUUAGCAACCGUUUUAUGGAAAGCGCCAUGAAUGAAAUGUGAACCACCAUCGGUCAUUAGAUAUCUAGGGACACCAAAUCUAGGGAAAAUAACUUCUUUAAGCAUCCUGAUAGAGGUGAUCAGCACUACUAGUUGGGAUAGCUUCUACCCACUUAGUAACGUAAUCAACAGCAACUAGGAUAUGAGUAUACCCGUUGGAUUUUGGAAAAGGUCCCAUAUAAUCAAAACCCCAAACAUCAAAUGGUUCAAUGACAAGUGAAUAAUUCAUAGGCAUCUCCUGACGUUUACUGAUAUUACCUAUUCUUUGACAUUCAUCGCAAGACAAGACAAACUUACGGGCAUCCUUGAAGAGAGUAGGCCAAUAGAAACCUGAUUGCAAUACCUUGUGUGCAGUUCUAUCUCCCGCAUGGUGUCCUCCAUAAGCCUCGGAGUGACACUUCUUUAGGAUCUGUCCCUGUUCAUGCUUACGUACACAACGUCUAAUAACACCAUAUACUCCUUCUUUAUAAAGGUGAGGAUCAUCCCAAAAGUAAUGUCUCAAAUCAAAGAAGAAUUUCUUCUUUUGGUGGUAAGUGAAGCUAGGUGGUAUUUAUUUGGCAACGAUAUAAUUUGCAUAAUCAGCAUACCAUGGGGUACUACGUGAAGCAUUGAUGACAUUCAGUUGCUCAUGAGGAAAGCUAUCAUCAAUAGGUUGUGGGUCAUCAAGAACAUUCUCCAACAUAGACAAGUUAUCUACUACGGGGUUCUCAGCAACCUUUCUAUCAACAACAUGCAAGUCAAAUUCUUGUAGCAAGAGAACCCAUCUGAUAAGUCUAGGUUUAGCAUCUUUCUUUCCCAUGAGAUACUUAAUAGCAGCAUGAUCAGUGUGAAUAGUGACUUUGGAAUCAACUAUGUAAGAUCUGAACAUUUCACAUGCAAACACGACUGCUAAAAAUUCCUUUUCGGUAGUAGCAUAGUUUCUUUGGGCACUGUCUAGAGUUUUACUAGCAUAAUGAAUAACAUUCAACUUCUUAUCAACUCUUUGCCCUAGAACAACACCAACAACAUAAUCACUAGCAUCACACAUGAUUUCAAAAGGUAAGUUCCAAUUAGGUGGUUGAACAAUAGGCGUAGUUAUCAAGGACUUUUUAAGUAUUUCGAAGGCUUCCUCACAAUCAUCAUAAAAAAAAGGAAUAUCCUUUUGCAAGAGAUUGGUAAGAGGCCUAGAAAUCUUAGAAAAGUCCUUAAUGAACCUUCUAUAGAAACCAGCAUGAACAAGGAACUUCUUAUACCUUUGAUAUCUGUAGCGCAUGGCAUUUUCUCGAUCGCAUCAACCUUAGCCUUAUCGACAUCAAUACUUCUUUCAGAAAUUUUAUGUCCUAAGACGAUGCCUUCAUUAACCAUAAAGUGGCACUUCUCCCAAUUCAAGACAAGAUUGGUAUAUUUACAUCUUUGCAAAACUCGAUCUAGGUUGCUGUGGCAAUCAUCAAAAGAAGACCCGUAAACGGAGAAGACAUCCAUGAAAACCUCAACAAUAUUUUCACAAAAGUCAGAGAAUAUAGCCAUCAUACAUCUUUGAAAGGUAGCAGGUGCAUUACAUAAGCCAAAAGGCAUACGUCUGUAAGAAAAGGUACCGAAAGGGCAGGUAAAAGUGGUGUUCUCCUGAUCAAAUUGUGCAACAUGUAUUUGGGAGAAACCAGAAUAACCAUCUAGAAAGCAGAAGUGUGUGUGUUUAGACAGUCUUUCUAGCAUUUGGUCGAUAAAAGGAAAAGGGUAAUGGUAUUUCCUAGUGGCUUUAUUCAAUUUCCUAAAAUCAAUCACCAUCCUAUAUCCAGUAAUAAUCCUCUGUGGGAUCAAUUCAUCCUUGUCAUUAGGGACAACGGUAAUACCUCCCUUGUUAGGGACGCAAUGCACCGGACUCACCCAAUCACUAUGAGCAACAGGAUAGACAAUACCUGUUCUAGGAGCUUUAGUAUUUCUUUUCUUACUACCUCUUUCAUCUUAGGAUUUAAUCUCCGUUAAUGAUCGGCAACUGGUCUGGAAUCAGGAUCGGUUUUAGUUUUGUGCUGGCAUAGAGUGGGACUAAUGCCCUUAAGAUCAUCAAGAGUAUAUCCAAUAGCAGCACGGUGCUUCCUCAGAGUUUUCAAUAACUUCUUUUCUGCAUGCUCUGAAAGGCUAGCACUAAUUAUAACAGGAUAUAUCUCUUUUUCAUCGAGAUAAGCAUACUUAAGAGUAUCAGGUAACUGCUUAAGCUCAAACACAGGAUCACCCUUGGGUGGGCGUGGAUCUCCAAGCAGUUCAACACACAAAUUAUUCUUAAGGAUGGGAUGUUGUUCAAAGAUAACUCUUUCUAUCUCAUUCCUUUCAUCCAUAUGCAUAUCAUUUUCAUGCUCAAGCAAGUAUUGCACUAAAGGAUUAGUAGGAGGCACAGCAAUAGAAGCUAGGGAAAUAAUUUCAUCUUUACUAGACAACUCUUUUUCAUGAGGUUGUUUGCCAACCUUGGAGAAAUUGAACUCAUGUGACACACCUUCAAAGCCAACAGUGACAGUUUGCUUCUCACAGUCAAUAUGAGCAUUGACAGUAUUGAGGAAAGGUCUGCCAAUAUGAUGGGACAAAAGCUAUCUUGUGUGGUAGCAAGAACGAGAAAAUCAGCACGAUACUUACUUUUACCACACAAGGCUUCAACAUCUCUAACAAUUCCCAAAUGGCAGAUAGUAUCUCUAUUGGCAAGUUGAAUAGUGACAUCAAUAGGUUCCAUCUCGACAGGUGCAAUCUUGUCUUAAUUUCAUCAUAUAAAGAUUGAGGUAUUGCACUAACACUAGCACCCACGUCACAUAAACCAUGUUAACAAUGAUCUCCUAUCUUAACAGAAACGACAGGCGUGCCAACAACAAGCCUAUGUUUGUCUCUAGCAUGAGGUUUAGCAAUUCUAGCAGCAUCUUCAUAGAACUGAAUAUCAUGGCCCUCAACAUUGUCAGACAGGAGAUCUUUGAUAAUAGCUAUGCUAGGUUCAACUCUAAUUUUCUCAGGGGUGUAGGUGUUCUAAUGUAGCCCCUAUGUAUCAUAGUUGAAGCUUUAGAAUGAUCCUUUAUUCUAACAGGGAAAGGUGGUCUCUCAAUGUAAGCACUAGGAACAAUAGGAUCAUUAUAAGCGAUGACUUUCUCUUCAACUGGAUUGGGUUUAACUACAUUGACUUCUAAGGAAGGAUGAUAUUUAAACCACUUCUAUUUAGGGAGAUCAAUAUGAGCAGCAAAUGAUUCACACAAUGAAGCUAUUAUCUCAGAGUCAAGGUCAUAUUUAGCGCUAAAAUCACAAAAAGUAUUUGUUUCGACAAAGGAUUUAACGCAAUCAAACUUGAGAUUCAUACCUGACUCCUUACCUUCAUCAAACUCCCAAUCUUCAGAGUUGCGUUUAAUUCUUUCCAAUAAAUUCCAUUUGAAGUCAAUAUCUGUCUUCACAAAAGAACCGGUACAAGAAGUGUCAACCAUGGUGCGAUUAUCAUGAGAAAGCCGAGCAUAGAAGUUCUGAAUAAUAAUUUUUCUUGAGAGCUCAUGGUUGUGGCAUGAAUAUAACAUUGAUUUAAGCCUCCCCCAAGCUUGAGCGAUACUUUCUCUAUCACGGGGCCAAAAAUUAUAUAUAUAAUUGCGAUCACGAUGUACCAAAUGCAUAGGAUAAAACUUUUGAUGAAAUUCCAAUUUCAAUCGGUUGUAGUUCCAUGAUCCAGUAUCAUCACAUAGCCUAUACCAUGUCAAUGAUUUAUCCCUCAAAGAUAAGGGAAAGACCUUCUUCUUGACCUCAUCCUCGGGCAAACCUGCAACCUUAAAUAAACCACAAACUUCAUCUACAUAGAUUAGAUGCAAAUCGGGAUGUGAUGUUCCAUCUCCUGUAAAAGGAUUAGCCAACGGUUUCUCAAGCAUACCCGAAGGAAAUUCAUAACAAAUAUUUUCAGUAGGUGCAGCAGGUUGAGGACAAACGUCCUUGUGCUUCCGUUCGAGGUGAAGAUACCCCGAAUAAGCUCCUCAAAGGAUUAGUUUCCAUAGUAACAAGUGACAAUAAAUUUCAGCACACUAUAUAAAUGUUUCCUUACCAAUUUCCACUUACCAAAGGCGCUUCACUCCCCGGCAACGGCGCCAGAAAAUAGUCUUGAUGACCCACAAGUGCAGGGGAUCUAUUGUAGUCCUUUCGAUAAGUAAGAGUGUCGAACCCAGUGAGGAGCAGAAGGAUCUGACCAGUGGUUUUCAGCAAGGUAUUCUCUGCAAGCACUGAAAUUAUCGGUAACAGAUAGUUGUGUGAUAAGACAAUUCGUAGCGAGUAGCAAGUAACAAUAGUAACAAAGGUGCAGCAAGAUGGCCCAAUCCCUUUUGUAGCAAGGGACAAGCCUGGACAAACUCCUAUAGGAGGUAAAGCGCUCCCGAGGACACAUGGGAAUUUAUGUCAAGCUAGUUUUCAUCAUGUUCAUAUGAUUCGCGUUCGCUACUUUGAUAGUUUGAUAUGUGGGUGGACCGGUGCUUGGGUGCUACCCUUACUUGGACAAACAUCCCACUUAUGAUUAACCCCUCUCGCAAGCAUCCACAACUACGAAAGAAGAAUUAAGACAAAGUCUAACGAUAGCAUUAAACUAGUGGAUCCAAAUCAGCCCCUUACGAAGCAACGCAUAAACUAGGGUUUAUGCUUCUGUCACUCUAGCAACCCAUAAUCUACUUACUACUUCCCAGUGCCUUCCUAUAGGCCCAAAUAAUGGUGAACUGUUAUGUAGUCGACGUUCACAUAACACUACUAGAGGAAAAACAACGUACAACGCAUCAAAAUAUCGAAGGAAUACCAAAUUCACAUGACUACUUAUAGCAAGACUUAUCCCAUGUCCUCAGGAACAAAUGUAACUACUCACAAAGCAUAAUUAUGUUCAUGACCAGAGAGGUAGUGAAUAGCGUCAAGGAUUUGAACAUAUAAUCUUCCAUCGAGUAAUCCAACUAGCAUCAACUACAAAGAGUAAUUAACACUACUAGCAACCUUACAAGUACCAAUCGGAGUCGCGAGACGGAGAUUGGUUACAAGAGAUGAACUAGGGUUUGGAGAUGAGAUGGUGCUGAUGAAGAUGUUGAUGGUGAUGAGUCCCCUCCGAUGAGAGGAGUGUUGGUGAUGACGAUGGCGACGAUUUCCCCCUCCGGGAGGGAAGUUUCCCGGGCAAGACGGCCAUGCCGGAGCUCUAGAUUGGUUCUACUCAAGUUCCACCUCAUGGCGGCGGCGAAUCCUCCCGAAAGCCUCCUCCUGAUUUUUUCUGGAACGAAACCCUCGUUAUAGCAAAGUAUAGGAGCCAGAGGGCCAACAUGGAUCCUACAAGCCCCCUAGGCGCGGCGAGGGGGGUAGGCCGCGCCUAGCAGGCUUGUGGCCUCCUGGUGGCUCCCCUUUGGUACUUCUUCCGCCCAGUAUUUUUUAUAAAUUUGAAAAUAAUUCCUCGUUGAUUUUCACGGCUUUUGGAGUUGUGCAGAAUAGGUAUCUGAAACUUGCUCCUUUUUUAGGCCAGAAUUCCAGCUACCAGCAUUCUCCCUCUUCAUGUAAACCUUGUAAAAUAAGAGAUAAAAGGCAUAAGUAUUGUACCGUGAAGUGUAAUAGCAGCCCAAAAAGCGAUAAAUAACAACAUAAAAGCAUGAUGCAAAAUGGACGUAUCUAGAAGCAGAGACCGGAUUCAAGGCGCUUGAGGAGGCCGCCAAGGCCCACGGAGCGAAGCUCACCGACCAUGACUCCGAGCUAGAGAGGGCAGAAGCCGACCAGGUCAUGGAGCGCGGGCGCUUGGAGGCGCUUCUGAGGUCAUGGACAAGACUCGGGAUGCACACGUGAAGCAAGUCUCUGAGGCCAACGCCAAGCUGGCUCCACGGGAAGAGGAGGCCCGGGCCGCUGUUGAUGCGAAGGCAGUAGCGGACCGUGACGCGCUCUCCUUUCUGGAACUCAGGGCCUGCCAGGCUCUAAGCUCCAUCUGCAGGCUGGGGCUUGAUACGUCUCCAUUGUAUCUACUUUUCCAAACUCGUUUGCCCUUGUUUUGGACUCUAAUUUGCAUGACUUGAAUGGAACUAACCUGGACUGACGCUGAUUUCAACAGAAUUGCCUUGGUGUUGUUUUUGUGCAGAAAUGAAAGUUCUCAGAACGUCCUGAAAAUUUACGGAGAAUAUUUCUGGAAAAUAUGAAAAUUACCUGCGCAAAGAUCCACCGGAGGGGAUGGGCCAGUGGGCCACAAGCGCUGUAGCCGCCACCCCCCUUGGUGGCGGCUAGCAAACUUGUGGGGCCCACGUGGCUCUGCCACCCCCAAUGUCAGCUCUAUAAAUUCACUUUCGUUCAAGAAAAAAUAAAAAGAGAAGAUUUCGUCGCGUUUGCGAUACGGAGGCGCCGCCACAUCCUGUUCUUCAUCUGGAGGGCAGAUUUGGAGUCCGUUUUGUGCUCCGGAGAGGGGACAUCGUCGCCAUCGUCAUCAUCAACCUUCUUUCCUCUCCAAUUCCUUGAAGCUCUUCAUCGUUCGUGAGUAAUCUAUUUAUAGGCUCACUGGGCGGUGAUCAGUAGGAUGAGAUCUAUCAUGUAAUCGAGUUAGUUUUGACGGGGAUUGAUCUCUAGUAUCCACUAUGUUCUGAGAUUGAUGUUGCUACUACUUUGCCAUGCUUAAUGCUUGUCACUAGGGCCCGAGUGCCAUGAUUUCAGAUCUGAAAUUAUUAUAUUGUCACCAAUAUAUGUGUGUUUUAGAUCCGAUCUUGCAAGUUGUAGUUACGUACUUUGUGUUACGAUCCGGCAACCCCGGAGUGAUAAUAACCGGAACCACUCCCGGUGAUGACCAUAGUUUGUGGAGUUCAUGUGUUCACCAAGUGCUAAUGCGUUGGUCCGGUUCUUUAUUAAAAGGAGAACCUUAAUAUCCCAUAGUUUCCUUUUGGACCCCACUGCCACGGGAGAGAUGGACAAUAGAUGUCAUGCAAGUUCUUUUCCCUAAGCACGUAUGACGACACACGGAAUGCAUAACUACAUCACAUUAACGAACGGGAGCUAGCCACAUAUCUCUCCGUGUUAUAACUAUUUCAUGAUGAAUAUCAUCCAAACAAAUCACCGACCCAUUGCCUAUGAGUUUGUCCCAUUGCUGUUGUUACUACUGUUGCUGAUGCUGUUACUUGCUCUGCUGUUACUUGCUACUGUUGCUACUUGUUACUGUUGCUACUUUGAUAUCGAUACUUUGCUUGCAGAUAUUAAUCUUUCAGGUGUGGUUGAAUCUGACACAUUCAGCUGCUAAUACUUGAGAGUAUCCUCUCCCUUCCUAUUGGCGAAUCAACAAAUUUGGGUUGAAUACUCUACCCUCGAAAACUGCCUCGAUCCCACGCGUUGGUGGGUUAUUGCAAGACAAUUUCUAAUUGUUGAGCAAUCGAUAACAGCAUUCGUCUAGCUAUUGCCAAAGAGUGCCAAUCAUCAUUUUUCUGGCGCCGUUGCCGGGGAGGUAUUGCUAUAUUCUCUGAGUUACUUGGGAUUUAUAUCUGCUGAUCACUAUGAAGAAUCUGAAGGAUCCGAAAACCAAAGUCUUGCCCUCAACUACGAGGGGAGGUAAGGAACUGCCAUCUAGCUCUGCACUUGAUUCACCUUCAGUUAUGAGUAAGUUUGCGACAUCACCUCCUGCUAGAAACCUUGAUAUGUCGCCUGUGCUUGAUGAUGCUUAUGAUGCUGCUAUGCCUGAUACUACUAGAGAUGCUAUGCCUGAUAUAUCUUUGCCUGAUACUGCUAGAGAUCCUAUGCCUGAUACUGCUUUUCCUGAUAGUGCUAGAGAUACUACUUUGCCUGAUGUUCCACUAGGGGCAUUCCUUGAUGCUCAUAUUGCUAGAGUUACUGCCAAUGCUUGUAAUGCUUCUGAAACUGCCGAUACUAUUGAGAUAGAACCUGCUUUUGCUCGUGCUAGAUCUAGCUCUCCUAGAUAUGAAUUGCCUGAUAUACCUGAGGGUUACGUUAUGGAGGGAGAGAUAGCUGAGGAUUUUGUUGCGUGUAAGGAUGCCUAUGACGCUGAGAAAUUACUUCUCAAGUGGAAGGAAAAAUCUCUGAAAUAGGACCCGAAGUUUGCCACUUCACCUAUCUUUAUCACCGAUAAGGAUUAUGAAUAUCUCUAUCAAUCCUGAGAUAAUAUCUCUAGUCGAAUCUGAUCCUUUCCACGGUUAUGAGUCUGAGAUGGUCGAAGCCCAUCUUACCAAACUACACGGUAUAGCCACCCUUUUCACUAGUGAGGAGAAGAUCCGCCACUACUAUAUCCUUAAGGUGUUUCCUUUCUCUCUAAAGGAUGACGCUAAAGCCUGGUUCAACUCUCUUGCUCCUGGAUGUGUGAGUAGUCCCCAAGAUAUGGUCUAUUACUUCUGUGAGAAAUAUUUCCCUGCCCAUAAGAAGCAAGUUGCCUUGCAGGAAAUAUACAACUUUGCUCAACUCCAAGAAGAGAGUCUCCCACAAUCUUGGGGGAGGCUCGUCCAGCUACAGAAUGCUUUGCCUGAUCACCCUCUUAAGAAGAACGAGAUACUUGAUAUCUUCUAUAACGGACUUACCGAUGCCUCUAGAGACCACCUAGAUAGUUGUGUCAGUUGUGUUUUUAGGGAACAAACUAUUGAACAAGCUAAGACCCUACUGAAUAACAUCUUGAUCAACGAUAAUGCUUGGACUAUUCCCGAGCCACCUCCUAAGCCAACUCCAAAGAAAAGAGGUAUUCUAUUCCUCAGUCCCGAGGAUAUGCAAGAAGACAAGAAAUCUAUGCAAGAGAAAGGCAUUAGAUCUGAAGAUGUCAAAAAUCUACCACCUAUCGAAGAGAUCCAUGGUCUCGAUAACCCGAUACAAGUAGUAGAAGUGAAUUCUCUGCGUAGGUUUGAUGAGAGUGAUAUUCCUUUUGACAAACCUGCUAGCAUAUGCUUUGAUGAAUUUGACAACUUUGUUGCCAAACAACAGAGUUUCAAUGAUUAUGUUAGCAGACAUUUGGAACAAAGUACUCGUAUGCUUAGCCAAUUAAGUGCUUGUGUAGACAGAAAUGUCAAUGAUCUAAAGCUUCUGAGUAAACAUGCCUCUAUGAUUAGUACUCAGGUAGAACAAGUACUUAAUGUUCAGAAUGACUUGCUCAAUGAAUUAAAUGACAACUCUGUCAGAGUCAUUACUAGAGGAGGCAAAAUGACUUAGGAACCUUUGUAUCCUGAAGGUCAUCCUAAGAGAAUUGAUGAAGAUUCACAAGGAAUUAAUGCUGAUACACCCAGACAUCCUAAGGAGAAGAAGAAGGAUGAUAGAAACCUACAUGCCAGUUCACCAAAUACUGUCACACCUGAAGAACCUAAUGAUAUUUCUGCGUCUGAUUCAGAAACACAAUCUGGUGAUGAACAUGAACAUGGUGACAAUAUGGACAGUGAUGUUCAUAAUAAUGCUCAACCUAGCACUGAUGAGGAUGUGGAGAUUGAACCUACGGUUAAUCCUAAUAACCCACAGCCUAAGAGAUACGAUAAGAAUGACUUCACUACUAGGAAGCAUGGUAAAGAAAGGGAGCCAUGGGUUCAGAUAUCUAUGCCCUUUCCUCCUAAGCCAUCCAAGAAAAAGGAUGAUGAGGAUUUUGAGCGCUUCGUUGAGAUGAUAAGACCCAUCUUUCUGCAGAUGUGGUUAACUGAUAUGCUCAAGAUGUCUCCAUAUGCCAAGUACAUGAAAGAUAUCGUGACUAAUAAACGGAAGAUACCAGAUCUUGAGAUCUCCACCAUGCUUGCCAAUUACACUUUCAAAGGUGGAACUCCUAAGAAACUUGGUGAUCCCGGAGUGCCCACUAUACCUUGCUCCAUUAAAGGAAACUACGUAAGAACUGCCUUAUGUGACCUUGGAGCCGGUGUUAGUGUGAUGCCGCUCUCUCUUUAUCGUGGACUUGAAUUGGAUAAGUUGACACCCACUAAAAUUUCUGUGCAAAUGGCCGACAAAUCAAUUGCUUUCCCUAUCAGCAUUUGUGAGGAUGUGCCUGUUGUGGUCGCUAACACUACUAUCUUAACAGACUUUGUUAUCUUGGAUAUUCCCGAGGAUGAUGCCAUGGCUGUCAUCCUCGGAAGACCCUCUUUAAAUAGUGCAGGGGUUGUUAUAGAUUGCAACAAAGGCAAUGUCACUUUCCAUGUCAAUGGUAAUGAGCACACAGUGCACUUUCCGAAGAAACGAUAUCAAGUACAUUGCAUCAAUGCUAUCGAAAAGACUUCAUCGAUUAUUAUUGGGAGAUUUGAAUGCCCUAUUCCUCGUGUGAAGAUGAAGUACGAUUUGCUUGUUGGGGAGAUACAUAUCCCCAUUGAGGUGACUUAGUGGCUAUUCGAAAAUUCUCCGUUCUCUCUUGCGAUUCGAGAAGGUUUUGUCAUGAGGACUUGAUCAACCCGAUUGACGGAUUUCUUUCGAUGACCAUGAAAUGGAUGAAUCAAAGAGUCACAUACCUCUAUUUUGAGCUUUCAUUUUCUGUUGCUUAGAAGAAAAAAUGAUAGGCUUAGUUUAGUUUUUCUUGUUUUCUGUUUUAGCGUCCCGAAGAAAAAUACCCUGAAAAUAAAAGUUCUUCAAUGGUCCUGAAAAUUUAGUAUGAUUAUUUCUGGAAUAUUUGAAAAAUAUUGGGCCUGAGAGCUGGCCCGGGGGCCAGACCAGUGGGCCACAAGCCUUGCAGCCGCCCCCCUGGUGGCGGAUGGCAAGCUUGUGGGGCCCACAGGGACCCCCUCCACUCAUUCCAGAUCCCAUCCUCUUCUUCCACCUCCAGAAAAAAUUGUUUCGCAGCUCAAACCCGUGUUCUUGCUCAUUUGCCUGUGAUUUUCGAUCUCCUUGCUCAAAGCACCAUUCUCCGAACUGUUUUGGGGAAAUUACUCCUUGGUAAGUGACUCCUCCAUUGGUCCAAUUCGUUUUUGCUCUAAUGCUCUAUCCUUCGCGUAUUCUUGCUACCUUGGUGACCCUGUUCUUGAGCUAGAAAUGUUGAUUUUAGCUGGUCCCAAGUAGUUUUAGCGCGUGAUACGGUGUCUAGGCACUGGUAGGAGUAGUUGCUACGAGUUGGGUUAAUCUUUAUUCACUUUUCUUUCGAAGUCUCUAAAAAAAAUUCAGAAUUUUUCAGAGCUAGAAAAGGGAAAAGAUGAGGAGGUUCUUGAGAGGCUCUUCAAGCCGCAACCCCAAGGAGGAUGAGAAGAACCACCCCAAGUACGUAGUCCCUCGAGUCACAGAAGUUCGAGCGUGCGAAUGGCCAAGUGAUGAAUUUUUGCGCGCCGGUGGGCUUUAUGAAGACUUUUAUUACUUGGUGGAGAACGCAGGUCUUACUGCGUUCGUUGAAGAUAAGUGCUCGCAAUACCUCCUCCUCACCAAUAUUUUCGUUCAAAGCUUCAACUUUUAUCCGAGGAAGAAUCCUCCCAUGGUUGAGUUCAUGAUAUACGAUGUCCCCCAGUGCAUGACGCUACAGGAUUUUUGCAAUGUAUGCAAAUUACCUUUUGUUGGGGAUAUCCGUGACCCUCGCCCACGGGACUUGGAGGAUUUCAUUGGUACUAUUGCUGUUGGAGAGGAGAGAGGAGUGUCUCGCACCAGAAUUGCUAGCAUACAUUUUCCUGUGCUUCGGUACUUCUCAUUAUUUGUGGGAAAAUGUUUGAUUGGCCGUGGGGAGGCUGGAUCACUUAGUUCUCCAGACCUUGCGGUUUUGCGUGAAGGCCUUUAUAACGAUAAGACUUAUAGCCUAGGUGCUAUAGUAGCCCAGCGGUUGAACACCAACCGUUCCAAGGGUGUCGUCUAUGGCGGUAUCUAUACUACCCAUCUUGCCAGACACUUUGAGAUACCCAUUAGACUGGGAGAGGAAGGAGAGAUCCUUCUCCUGAGAAAUAUCUGGAUUAUGACAGCAUGGUUCGCCAUGAUUUUCUGGAUAGAGAUGCUAGUAGACGGAUGAUUUAUAACUUGGUAUUUAGUCAGGGUACUCGAGAGAUUAUUACUUUGCCUACUCCUUCUUUGUUCGAUAUUCAUGCAGGCAGGUACACUAUUAUGCCCUCGGACAUCUACGCAUAUUGGGGCUUGGCCCAACCACAGGAGCCCGUGCCCGAGCCGCCAGUCGAGUACCAGACGCCAGUUUAUC